RNAcentral lists this long non-coding RNA (70512 nucleotides) under Populus trichocarpa (black cottonwood). RNAcentral describes it as "long non-coding RNA (PTRI_LNC003458)". The stretch from base 58035 to 58190 matches the Rfam family "MIR2912 microRNA precursor family". The record is from RNAcentral. Lineage: Eukaryota; Viridiplantae; Streptophyta; Magnoliopsida; Malpighiales; Salicaceae.
UUUGUCUCCCUUCCUAGACAUAGUUUAAGACCUUAUUAUGGAUCAAGAAAACAGAAAGAAACGAACCCGGGAUGAGUUGGGCGUCUCGAGUUCCGAAUCUCCCGAGGUUAAACUAGCUCGGGUUGACUCGGAGGCUAACUCGCCCCUUCUGGAACCUGACCGAGAUGAACUGGUUGAGGUACGUGAAGAUUUGCUCAGCAUCUUUGAUGAUUCGGAUGAGCCAGUCGUUCAGGGGCUGGAAUCGGUUAUAAAAAGUUUUGAAGAGGAGAUUCACGUAGGGGUUCCGGUGCCGGAUAUGUCGUCAGAUUCUGGUGGUUCCCAAACGGACCUUGGUUACCUCCUAGAGGCCUCGGAUGACGAGCUUGGCUUGCCGCCGACGUUUGCUGUUGGCGAGGAGAAAGACACCGCCGCUGUCGCCGUUUUGCCAGCGGAGGAGGAGGGACCUGGAGCUGUUGGUUUUGUUGAGAUGCUACGGUUUGAGGAUGAGAUACCGAGUUAUGACUCAUUUGAGUUUGGGCUCGUUGGUAACACGGAAGGAAAUCAUAAUUAUUGUGAUAAUAACGGAGAUUUUGUGGCGUUAGGUGGGUUGUUUGAUUAUUCGGACGAGAACUCGGUACCGGCCGAUAUUUCGGGAUUGCUGUGGCAGCCCGAGUUAUCGGCUUUGUGAAAAUAUCUAAAAAGAAUGGAGAAUAAAACGUUUCGGGCAACCCGGAGUUUGUAGGGUAACCGUACGUUUCAGUAGGAAAGAAGUGUGUUCAUAUUAUGAUGAUGUUUAGGCUGUAAAUUUUGGAAAGAAAGAAGUAAUCAAGGAAGAAAAAUAGGCGUUGAUUAUGAAUUAUUUUUUUGAGAUUUUUUGUAUUUUUAAUAUUAAAGUAUUAAAAAAUAUUAAUUUAAACUAAAACCGAUUGAUUGGAUCGCAAAUUUUUAUGGCUGCUCGUAACCUAUGGUUUCAAACGUCACCUAAUAACAUUAGCGCCUCGAAAAGAGGGAUGCGAAAAACAAUGGCUGCUCGAAUCAAUGGACCAACAAAUUGAACCGUUGAACUAUAGUUCUUUUAAGAUGCGAAAUAGUAUUGUAUUACCAAACCAAGAACCGACUUGUUGCUUAUAACGAGCCAGGAACACAUAGAAGCUUAAAUCAAGAGUAAGAGAAAUCCUCCCUAAUGUUUUAUUUAUGAAAUCAAUGGUUUUUUUUAACUUACAAACUAAAGAAAAAAUUUAUAGUUCAACAAAAUAAAUCUUACUGGAAUACUACAAUCAAAUUAAAACCCAAAUAUAAAUUAGUUUAAAAAUAUUUUUAAAAUAAAAUAAUAAAGUUCAAGUGUUAAUAAAUAAAGUUCAAUUUACAUAGUAAAUUCUAGGCCAUAUCAGAAGGCUUUUUCAAAGUUUGAUCGUUAUGAAAUUUUAACCAUGUAAGAAACAGAACCUUUAAAAUCUUUUGGAAAAAUUUCUGUAUGAUCCAAUUGUUGCGAUGUCGCGGUCGCACAAAUUAAUUACCCUAGCUUAAAACACACAAGAUAGUAUAGAGCAAGCAAGGGGUCGAUCCCACGAGGAAGGUUUAGUUCAGAUUUUUAUGCUAUACGUUAUGUAAUUGGGGGGGUUUGAUUUGCAAUGAUCUUAAACUAUGGUAGAAAUUAAACUAACAAACAAAAUCAAUUAAAACUGAAAUAUAUCAAGAAAACAAACCUUGGUUGCAAGCACACAUCCACCUACAGAAAUCAGAACCGAUCCUUGAAACGAAACUUCAGCUUAUAUUCUGAAUUUUUUAUCUUUUCUUAACAUUGGUUAAUUAACGGAUCCGCCGUAUAACUAACCCUAACCAACAAAUAAUCACAGUGUCCGCACUAAUGAUUUAAUCCAAUGGCAGCCUUAAGAUCUAGAUAAAUUCAUUAAUCUUAACAACCAAGUUGUCAGCUUGUGUUGCUUUGAUCGAAUGUUCUCCCUAAGUUUAAUAACGUAGUUCCGCUACAAUUACCAAGCUUAGUUGCUUCACAAGUUUAUAUAUCACAACUCCGGUUUUGAUAUCAAACUUAGCAAUAGAUUGUUCACAAUAAUAACUUAGAGUCCGCUCUAGCAAUUAAGAUAAACAAUCAUAGGAAAUAUGCAUAGGAAAACAAACAUACUCAUUCAUAAUACAAACUAAAAAUAAAUGGAAGAAUAAAUCUCACAGUUCUUGAAAUCUGAAGGUGUUUGCGUCCUUGCAACCAAGAAAACGAGCUUAGCCUUGCAUAUCUAUUGAACAACUACUCCUAAAGAUGAAAGAAUACAUGAUUUCUGAUUUGUAGAAGGGAGAAUUUGUGUUUCUUCUCUUAUGGCUGCCACCCUUCUUUCUUUGAUUCUACUGCACUCCCUCUCCCUCUCUCUUGGCUCUUGGCUCUCUUAAUAUCAUGAACUUAGCUGCCUAUUUAUACACAAAUUGUAAGUAAGAAAAUUCAAAGUUCAAGUGUGAACAUCAAGAGAUGGUGGUAGUGUGAAGGCGGCUGGCGGCUGGUGGCUGGCAGCUGGUUUGUGGUUGGUGGUUUGAGGUUGGUGGCUUGAGGUUGGUGGCUGCCUUCCUUGACCUUCUGGAUUGAUUUACUUGAGGAGCUAAAUUGCUGAAAUUAAAACUUGGAUGCCGGUUUUGAUGCUUCGGGAUGUAAUUUGGAUUCGUUUAUUCACGAAACCUGUUUGCUGGCAGAAUUCAGUUGUCAUCUUUGCAAAAUAAUAUCUCCCUCAUAUGACAUCGUUUGUGGCUGACAUUUUGAGCGUUUGUAGGCAUUUGAGUCAGGAAUCCAAAACAAUUGAGUUUGCAUCAAUUGGAUAUCUACAGCUCCAGAUAUUGAAUUUUGAAUGGACAAAGGUCAACACUGGCAGAAUGCGAGUUUUGACUUUGAAGGAUGUGAUUUCCAUGAUCUUUGUAUUUUUAUUUUUCUUGACUUAUAUUUCCAGAAAGGUAUGGAUGUUAUCUUUCUAAUGCCACUGGAAUCACUUCAUUUCGACUUCUAGAACUCACGCUCUGCACAAAACAUCGACUGAGGGUCAAAUCUGCCAAUUACCUCCAAUUUACUCCUUUUUUGCAUCUUUCAUCUAAAGGUGCCUUCAAAACAUAAAACAAAGAAUAUCAAGGCAUUUUAUACAUAAAACAAUAACCAUGUAAGAAACAGAACCUUUAAAAUCUUCUGGAAAAAUUUCUGUAUGAUCCAAUGAUUGGAUUUAAAGUUAUGACCAUUAACAUAAAUUUGUGUAACCAAGCUCUAGUACAUGUUAAUCGGCCCUAUAUUUGCUUGGAUUACAUUGAUCAAGGCUUGAUCCUCCUUUGAACUCAACUUCAUGCUUGAAGCCACCUUAGAAAGAAUUCUCAAAGCUUUCUCGGUCCAGCUAUCAUGAAUCAACCCAUUGAAUGCCUCUUUGAUCCUCUUGUCUCUUUCCAUUGUAAUUGAUCCAUACAUUGGAUCCUAUGAAGUUGCUUGUUGAUUCUUAUCAUUCUCCUUAUACUUAAAAGAAUUUGACCCCGAAACCUACAUCAAAAGGACAUAUUAGAAAAAUUGAAUACAACACUAACAUUAUACAUACUUGAAAGUUCAAACUUAUAUACAUUGUUAUUAAUCUAUUCAGGACUACCAAAAUUCUAGCAGUCUCCCUCAUAUUGGGGGAUCCCAAAUUAUCAACCUGUUUCACUUGUAUUCACAUUCUUAAUUUCCAAUCCAAUCAUCUUGGAUCUCAGUCAUAUCAAUUGUACUCAUCACAUUACAUUAAUUCAUAUGAUAUUACAUAGUAGCAAUUAUGAAAGUUUUAAAAGAAAAUAAAAACCAUCAUAUAUAUAUGAUUUUAUAGGAAUACAAAUGUAAAGAGGAACAAUUAUAUUCGUGUAUCAAUAAUCCAAAGUUCAACGAAUACAUACAAUCCCAAAAUAUGCAUAACAUACUUAGUUUAUAUUAACAAAAGUGAGAUAAGGUAAGAUUACACUUGGUGCGAGUGAGAAGGUCCUAAAAAGUACAACAUUCACAUAUAAUCAUUUAAAUAACUAAUAAUAACUAAUACACUGAAAAGUAUUACUAAAUCUUUGUCUAUCCUUUGUUUCAACUCGAAGAUAAAACAUUUCUUAUCAUACAUUCAUUCUUUUUUAUUUAUUUAACUUUCUAAAUUAACAUCAUCAUACUAUUAGAUAUCCAUAACCUGGAUAAUUUUCUUAAUGCCGAUAUCAAUUUCAAAUUGAUAUCAUUAACCAUUGCUUAAUAAACGGUUAAUCAACGAAAUGCCAACAUCAACUCACUGACAUCAUUAGCUACUGUUUCCCUAGUUAACUAAUCAUAAACUUUAAGGAACAUACUGAUGCCAAGAUAUCCACCUUGACAUCAUUAGCUUUCCCUAUUGUUCAGGAAAGCUAAUCAAAUUAAUUUUUCUUUUAUUUCCUGUCCUUUGGGUGGUUAUGCCGAUGCUAAUGAAUCUCAUUAACAUCAUUAGUCUCCCUUAUCGAGACCGACUAAUCAAAUUCGAGUAAAUGCCGAUAUUAAUAUAACCUAGUAAUAUCAUUAGCUUUCUGAAUCUUGGAAUAGCUAAUCAAGUCCUUUAUGAAUACUUUCACUUAACAUUUGGUAAUGUAGAUGUCAAAGAACCCCUCGAUAUCAUUAGCCUCCAUAUCAAGAGUAGCUAAUUAAGUUUUUCCAUCCAUUUCCUUUCUUUCCCCACUUAUUUAAUGAUUUUCCAUACUAAUACAAGAAACAAAAAGAAGUAAAUCUAACAAUUAUAUUGGUGUAAAAACUACAAAAUAUAGGGGUUAAGCACCUACUUGAGGUGUGUGAUGUCCCAACAACAGCUCUGCCCUAUGGUCUAGCUGCUGAAGAAUCCCUUGUCAAAAACAAGAUUAAUUCAUUAGCAUAAAUUCUGGAACCAUAACUUGAUUCUUUAUGACAAUUUCCAUAUCUAAAAUCUUCAUCAUUUUUUCCAAUUAAAAUUCUCUAAAACAUAUAAUUACAUAAUCUCUCAAAUUUCUUCAUUUAGCCAACCCUAAGGGCCAUACUUUUUUUUUUUUGCCUCAUUCAUUUAUUUCGACUUCACUAUGCCACAUUUUUAUUAACCUUAAUUACACCCAAUAUAAUUGAAACACAAUUUAAGCCUUAUCUAAUCACAAUUUAUGUUAAAGUUUUACUCCUAUUUACUUACAAUUUUCACAACGCCUUGAUAUAUUCAUGAAUUUCAUUUUAAAUUAUUAUAUCUAUCUCAAUUCUCAUUAAACACACCAUUUCUACCAGUACAAAUCAUUUACCCAAAUUCCCUAAAAUCCCCCCUUUUUGGCCGGCCCCAAAACCAUGGAAAAACACAUGGUUCUUUCAAAAUUUAGCAAAAAUCAACACUUAUCCAAUGUUUUCCAUGAUCAAAAUUAUCAUUCCAAACAAAGAAUACCAUCAUAAACAAUUUCUCUUAGAAAACCCUAACUUCCCUAAUGCAAUCAUAAUUAAUGAAUUCCAUAUCUUAUAAAAAAGGCAAAGCUUCACAUAGUAAAAGGAAUCAUUACCUACUAAGCACAAGAAACAAGGCAAAAAUUGCACUAAAACCCAAGCUUUUAACACUUUUUUCUUCACUCAUUUUCCUUUCUUUUGCUACCACUUUACCCAUCAAAAUCACUCCCUCCCACUUGAUUUUCCUUCACAACUUGAUGUUUUAGGUGUUGAUUCUUCCAACUUUCAAGAUUUUCUUUCACUUUCUUUGUUUUCCUUAGGUUUUCUAAAGAUUUUUAGCAUGUUUUUCUUUUCUCUACUAUUUUCUUCAAAUAGCCAGCCACACACAGACACAUAUAGAAAACAAUUUAUGAAAUUCCUAUUAUGUCUCUGUUGUGAUGUCGCGGUCGCACAAAUUAAUUACCCUAACUUAAAACACAAUACACAAGAUAGUAUAGAGCAAGUAAGGGGUCGAUCCCAUGAGAAAGGUCUAGUUUAGAUUUUUAUGUUAUAUGAUAUGCAAUUUGGGGAGGGGUUGGAAGUUAUCUAGGGUAAAGCAAAAGAAAACAGAAAAUUAUCAAGCGAAAUUAAAUAAAAUCAGAAAAUUAUCAAGAAAACAAACUUUGGUCGUAAGUAAACAUCCACCUACGGAAAUCAAAACUGAUCAUAGAAAUGAGACGUCAAUUUAUACUCUGAAUAUCUAUCUUUUCUUAUGUUAAUUAGUUAACAAAUCCGCUGUAUAACUAAUCCUGACCACCAAACAACCACAGUGUCCGCACUAGUAAUUUAAUUUAAUGGCAGCCUUAAGAAUUAGAUGAGUUGAUUAAUCUAGACAACAUAACUGUUCGCAAUCCAUGUUUGAUUUGAUCAAUCAAAUGCUCUCCCUAAGAUUACUAAUCUGGAUCCGCCACAAUUAUUAAUCUUAGUUGCUUCACAAGUUUAUAUACCACAACUCUGGUUUUGAUAACAAACUUAGCAUUAGAUUGUUCACAAUAAUAACUUAGAGUCCGCUCUAGCAAUUAAAAUAAAAAAUCAUAGGAAAUAAGCAUAAGAGAACAAACAUAUUCAUUCAUCAUAUAAACUAAAAAGAAAAGGUAGAAUAAAUCUUACAAUUCUUGAAAUCUGAAGGUUUUUGUAUCGCUGCAACCAAGAAAAAGAGUUUACUCUUGCAUGUUUAUUGAACAACUAAUCAAAAAGAAAGAAGAAAACAUGAUUUUAGGUUUAUGAAGGAGAAGGGGUGUCCUCCCUUAUCCUCUCUCAUUCUUUUUAUAUCCUAGGAAACCCUAGUCUCUAUUUUACUAAAUAGUCCUCCCUUAAGUAGACAGUUUAGAUUUAAGUACUUCAAUAACUAUUUUCCUAAAAAAGGAGAAAUAGUUUUGCAUGAAAUCUUCAAGCUUUGACUUAGAGGAGCUAAAUUGCUGAAAUAAAAACUUGGAUGUUGGUUUGGAUGCUUCGGGAUGUAAUUUGGACUCGUUUUUUUCACAAAACCUGUUUCCUGGCAGAAUUCAUAUGUCAUCUUAGAAAAAUCAUAUCUCCCUCAUACAAAAAUUUUUUCGGCUAAACUUUGGUAUGUGGAUAGGUAUUUGAGUCAGGAAUCCAAAAAAAUUGAGUUUGGAUCAAAUGGAGUUUUGUAGCUCCAGAUAUUCAAGUUGAAAUGGCCAAAGGUCAACACUGACAGAUUGCAAAAUUUGACUUUAAAGGCUGCAAUUUCCAUGAUUUUCCUUAUUUUAUUUUCUUUCCUUAUAUUUUCAGAAAGGUACGGAUGUUAGCUUUUUAAUGCUAUUGCAAUCACUUCAUUUCGACCUCUAUAGCUUACGCUAUGCACAAAACAUCGAAUGAAGGUCAAAUCUGUCAAUUACCUUCAAUUUACUCCUUUUUGCAUCUUUCAUCCAAAAAUGUCUUCAAAACAUAAAAUAAAGAAUAUCAAGGCAUUUUAUAUAUAAAAUAUAGGCAAAACACUAGUUAAAUAUGGAUGAAGCUAUCGAAUAAUAUGGUUGCAUCAGUCUCUCCUUUGUAACCUUUUGUUUUUUCGAUUAAAUUUUUCCCAGCUUUCGAUAGCUAUUACUAUCAAUUUUAAGUUGGGAUAUUUAGAAUUUCAUUAAAUGAUAUUCUAGUACCUUUCUUUCCUCUUACAUCACUUCCAUUUAUUUUUUAUUUGCAAUUUUGUAUAUUUUAUUUUUUGACCAUUUUCAUAUUUUUAUUUUUUUAAAAAAUUACACAUACAACUUUUAUUUCCAAAUUCCAUUAAUCCAUUAUCAUUCUCAUGUGUGGAUAUUCAAUUUACGUACUUAACAUAAUAUUUACUUCUUUGUCGUUAUGAUUUUUUUUAUCCAAGGGUUUUACAAGAAAAGACUCAUUUAUAAUUAUCAUGGCUUUGGUAGCUCUUUAUGAUUUAGAGUUAAAUCAAAUGAGUGUAAAAUUAUCUUUUUAUAUAAGAAUUUUAUAGAAGUUUAUAUGGAUCAGCCAAAGGGGUUUUCGCUCAAAGGUGUAAACACCCAACAAAAAAAAGUAAAAGCCAGAAACAACUCCAUCGUCGCUGCUAAUUUCUGAAUCAACAACGAUACAGUUUUCGUUGAUGAUUUCUGAGUUGACAAUGAUUUAGUUUUCGUUGACGAUUUCUGAGUUAACAGGGGCUAAGUACGUCGACAAAUCCAUGUGUCAGCUGUGGAAGCAGUUUCAUUGAUGAUUUCUGAGUCGGCAGCGACUCAGUUUUCGUUGAUGAUUUCUGAGUCAAUAGGGGUUGUGUGCGCUGACGAAUCCAUGCGUCAGCUAUGAAAGUAGUUUUGUUGAUGAUUUCUGAGUCGGCAGCGACUCAGUUUUCGUUGAUGAUUUUCUGAGCCAACAAUGGCUGCGUGCGCUGACGAAUCCAUGUGUUUUGUAAAACCCGAUAAAAAACUUAGUCCUUGGCCGUGUCAAACCUAACAAAUUUUAUCUUUGGUCGACCUAUAUUAGGAAAAAAAUUAAGAGGUAUAGACCGACCAACUUUGGAGGAAAACCUAGAGGAGAAGUGUAAGACCCGAUUAAAAAUCCAAAUAAAGGACUGACUUAUGCUAAGUAAAAAUUUUUAGGAUCAAACCAACCUACCUUAAAGGAGAGAUUAGAGUAGGAAAAACCGAUUCUGAGAUUAUCUUAAAGAGGAACAAGGACAUGAUGGAACAACCCCCAAACACCCCAACACACUUAUAGGGGGAUAUAAUACAGGGUGAGAAAAGAGGUGACUCUUCCUCUUCCACAGAAAUAGCCACAACCAUUGCUGCAAUUGAACCUCUCUCUCCCCAAGAAAAACUGACCAGACCAUCUGCAAGCAAGCUCUAUUGAGUGAAGAGUGAGGAGAGAGUUGAGAAAAAAAGAAGAAACCGAAGCUAUAGAAGAAGGAAGAGAGUAGGAAGGGUUGGUUGCUGUAGUAGAGAAGGAAGAGAAGAAAACUGAAAGGAAGAAGAAGAACAACCAACAAAACCUACAGUAAGAAUGUCCAGAAACAUAAGGUCAGAUAAACACCAUUUCCUUGGCUGGGUAUUACCCCAAAUGUCGAACAAAAAAGGAAGAGAAAGAACUCAAGAAUGAGGGUUUAGGACCCUUACAUUUUAACUCAAGAUUUGAUAAACUAGGAGUGACGAACCUAAAUGGAAUGAUGGAUAAAUAAGAACGUGUGCAGAUUCUUACAAAAAGAAAUUAAUGAAUAUGUUUGAUUUGAAUGUGUAAACCUAAGUUUGGGGCCGACCAAAUGAUGAGAUGAUUAAAUGGUGUAAAGAAAUGAGGGAAUGCAUGAAGAAUGGCUUGUUGGGCUCCUAAAAAACAUGCUGGAACAAGAAAACAAAAUUGCAUGACUAUGUUAAUGCCUAGAAUGUUACAUAUAUAAUUGAAAGAAACUAUGUGUAAAGGUGAUAAAAUGAGUAUAUGUGCAGAAUUGUGUGUUGUUAAGCCUUAUAGGACAUGCAAAAGAUAAAACAUAACUUAAAUUAAUGUUUAUGUCUUAACUCUCACAAAUGAUUGAUGAAUUUGUAUGGGAUAUGAAAUGGAAUGAUGAAAAUGCUUGGAAUGUGAUUUUGCUGGAUUCCUAGGAACAUUUUGUAUGCUGGAACUGAGAUUUAUGUUGAUGUUCAUGCUUGAAUUUUGUUGUCGGAUUGAUGAGUUUACAUGAAAAUGGUUCAAGUGAAUGAAGAUAUGAAUUUAUGGCUUAUUGUUGUGAUUAUACUUGUGAUAGAUUGAAUGUGGUUGGAUAUGGUCUAUGUUCAAUUCGGUUUGGGAGUUUUAUAAGAUAAGGGGAAAACCUAGCAUAAACCUUACACUUAAAUGAUGGAGAGAUUAAGACAUAAAUGAGUUGACUGUCGUUGCCAAUUUCUGAAUCGGCGGCGACUUGGAUUGUGUCAAUGAUUUCUGAGUCGACAAUGACUUAGUUUUCAUCAAUGAUUUUUGCGCUACCAGUAGGACGUGUACGCUGAUGAUUUCAGUGUCAGUCGUAUAACUGGGUUACGUUGAUGAAUUCUGGGUCGACAUUGUCUAUAGACAGUAGGACUUGUGCGCUGAUGAUUUCAGCGUCAACUGUAAAAAUAGGUUGCGUUGACGAAUUCUUGGUCGACAACGACUCAGUUUUCAUCAACGGUUUCUAAGUUAGUAGAGAGGCCUAUGUGCGCUGAUGAUUUCAGCGUCAUCCGUAGAACUAGGUUGUGUUAAUGAAUUCUCAAUCGGCAACGACUCAAUUUUCGUCAAUGGUUUCUGAGUUAACAGUAGGCUAAGUACAUUGAUGAUUUCAUGUGUCAGCCAUGUGAUGGGAAUUGCGUUGCCAAAUUCUAUGUAACCAGCAAACCAGUUUUCACUAUCGAAUACUGUGUCAUCAAGGAAUUAGUUUUUACUAUCGAAUUCUGUGUAAUCAGCGAAAUAGUUUUUGCUGACGAAUUAUAUGUCACCAACGAAACAAAUUUUGCUGCCGAAUUUCGUAUCACCAGCGAACCUGUUUUUGCUGACAAAUUGUGUGUCACCAGCGAAAUAGUUUUCACUGCCAAAUUCUGUAUCAUCAGCGAACCAGUUUUCGCUAACGAAUUGUAUGUUACCAACGAAUCCAUUUUCACUGUUGAAUUCUAUGUCACAAGCGAAUCAGUUUUCGCUGCUGAAUUCUGUAUCACCAACGAACCAAUUUUCGCUGACAAAUUGCAUGUCAUUAGCGAAUUAGUUUUCGUUGCCUAAUUAUGUAUCACCAGCGAAGUAGUUUUCACUGAUGAAUUGUAUGUCACCAGCGAAUCCAUUUUCAUUGUUGAAUUCUAUGUCACCAUUGAAUCAGUUUUCGCUGCCAAAUUCUGCAUCACCAGCGAACUAGUUUUCACUGAUGAAUUGUAUGUCACCAGCGAGUCAAUUUUUGCUGACGAAUCCUAUGUCACUAGCGAGAAGCUGAGAGAUGGGCUUCAAGAGGAAUUAACGCAAAGGCUGAUUGCUUUAUAGUUCAAGUUAGUGAGAGAAUUGAUUGAGGCGGCACAAGCUCUAGAAGCUUGCAUUGGAGAAGGUCAAUAAGAGCAUCACGAAGCAGGUAAAAAGGGAGACGAGGAUGAUAUUACUAGCAGGCUACCGCUCCUAAAGAAGGGAAAAAGUGGAAUGUUUGAGGCAUCAGGGAAGAAUGGAACCGUAGUGGUAUCGUUCUACCAAUAGUUGAGUGGAAGAGUGAUGGGUGGACAGACUCACCCAAUAGCAAACCCUGCAGCGGGACUGGUGACUAAAAGAACGUGAACUACCUUUCUCUCCCCAAGAAAAACUGACCAGACCACCUGCAUGCAAGCUCUCUUGAGUGAAGAGUGAGGAGAGAGUUGAUAAAAAGAAGAGGAAACCGAAGCCAUGAAAAAAAGAGGAGAGUAGGAAGGGCCGGCUGCUGCAGUAGAGAAGGAAGAGAAGAAAACUGGAAGGAAAAAGAAGAACAACCAACAAAACCUACACUAAGAUGGACUCAAAAUAAUUUUGUAAGUGUGCAAUGUACCUGUCACACCACAAAUCAUAUUUGAGCCUUGUUUCUGCAAGACUCUAUAGGUGGCUCCAACCCUUUUUAAGGGUGUAGCACUUUAUUUCCAUACUAGGUUAGGAUUCGCUCUAAAUACAAUUUGUAUUGCUUCAAGCCCAAGGAGUAUGUGCACCACUAUACAACUUCUGGACCUAUAAGUGCAUCAUUGAGUUGUGAUUUAUUUUCCUCACUACCCAAAAAGAAUUCCUUGUUGAUCAUAAAUUUAUUAGUCAUUCCUUUUACUCAUCAUAUUAUAUGACUAAAAAAAACUCAAAAUAAUUUUUUAAUUAUCAAAGUUUUAUAUUCAAUCUAAAUAAACAUGACCUCGUAUCAUACAAUUACUCAACAUCUUUUUUCCAUUCAAAAUCAUUUAAAUAAUGUUAAAUAAUAAAGGAGUGAGUGCCACACACCCAACAAGUAAUAUUUCAUCUCCUUAGCUGGACUAAGCAUACAAAAACAUAAAUAUACAUAUUGGUCAUAAAUCGUUUUUUUAUUUAAAGUAAUUGUUCUUUCAAAAUUUCAAGUGUUCUGCAAUGUUCACUAAUCAUUCUCAAACUUUCAACAAUUCAAAUCAUUCGAUUUGAAUAUAAACAUGGAUUGAAAAUUUAUAUUCAAAGUUAAAUUUAAAGUUAAACUACUAUAGCUACUCUAACCAUAAUAGCAAUGAGUCAAAUUUAAUCUUGAGAUUAGAUAUUAAAUUCUAAAUAGACAUGUUUACUAUAAUCAAUAUAUAACUCUAAAAAUAGGGUUCAAAGCAUAGUCAAUUAUAUUCAUAUUUAAAUCAAUUCACGAGUAAGCUUAUAAAAAUAAAACACAUUCCAAAAUCAUAUUCAUAACAGAUUCAUAAAUCAUUUUUGAAAUUAUAUUUUAAAUAUAUUCAACGCAUAUUAAUGAGAUAUAUUCAAAAUCAUAUCCAAUACAUUCAUAUUCUUUGCAAAUAUUUUAUCAUGCUUAAUCCUCCAAAUUUAUAAAUAAAAAAGAUUUUAAAAAGAAAAUCCAUUUGAUACGUAUACAAUUUUCUAAUAGAAAAUUAACUAAUCAAAGAGAUGACAUAUUUUUUUUUACCAAAAAUCAAAAUCCAAAAGAUUCUCAAAGUAAAAGAACUCAUAACAUCUUAACAAUAAAUAUAUAAUAAAUAAUAAGUUCACUUAAUUGGCUUGUGACACGACCAAAAGAUUGAUGUCUUCUCCCAAGUGCACAUUAAUUUAUGCGAUACCAAAACACUUUUAAAAAAGUCACUUAACACUUAAUAUAUCACAACCCCUUAAUAUCUUAUAAAAUAUUAACUUUCAACAUUAUAGGCAUUAAUAAUAAUUUCAGCCCCUUCAUUGGAAUCACAUUUUAUGAUCUAAUAUUUUGCAUGCUUGAUUUAUCUAUAACUUGUAACUUCGUGUGUUUAAUUAUUGUUAUGUCAGACUAGGUGGCUAGGUAAGGGAUCUGAGACAAGUUUAGUUCUAAUAACAAAGUAUUUUUCAUGAUUUGUUUUUAUUAUUGUAGUUGUUGUUAUCUUGGUUUGAACAUGUUUAUUUUUAUAAUAUGUUUAUUUCUAUUUUAAUAAUUUUUAUUUUAUUUUCUUUGUGAUACUAAUUUUUUUUCUUUUACAAAUCGAACUAUAAAAUUGAUAUUAGACUUAAGGUACACUUUCGUUAUUUAGGUUGGAUGGUAGGUUGUUACAGGCGAAAGUCUUGUCUUUAUUUUACUAUAUUCCUUGUAAUUAGAUUUGAACUUGUAUUUAUUUUGAUGUGUAGCCAGGUUGAUGUGGGCUUUAGGUCCAAAUUCAAAUUUAUUUUAGGCCUUAAGCCUUGACUUCUUUCUUUUAGAUUGGGCUAAUGGCUGAAUGUUAAUCUAGGUGAGAGAUUGAUCAUUCUUUCAAUCUCCAAAUCACCUCAACAAUGAUUGGUUAAAAAAGGCUUGAUAAUAAACUCAGAAAUCAAGAUACAAAGACAUAAAAUGGACUUGCAUAAGAAAUUCUUUUAGGUUGGAAAUGAGUGCUUACCUCUUUAAAAAGAUACAUAGGGUGAUUGUGAUCUUUGUUAGCUGUGUAAAAUAUUUUAGCCCAAAACUCUUAAGUUUUCCUUAUUUUCACAUUUAAAAAAAAUAAAAGAUGACUCUUAGCCUUCUCAUUAUGAUCAUUCAAAUGUCAAAUGCAACAGCAUGACGACUCUAGAAAAAAAUAGAGAUUAUUGAAAAUAAUAUCAUUAGUUAGAAUGAUAAAGUUAAGGUAGAAUGCUACAAGUUUCUGAUGAUUGUUUAAAUGGUCCUUAGUCUUUUACAUCUUAAAUAUAUAUUAUCUUUUUUUCAAGACCUCAAAAACUCAUACAUGUUACAUGCUUCUAAAAUUUUUCUUUAAUAGAAAAAAAAAAACAAAAACAAAAUGUUUAGGAUGAUGAGUUUCAUCCUCAAAGAGAAGAAUAAAAUAUUUUAAAAUAAAAUACUUAUUUGUAUGUAGCAUAUCAUUAUUUAUAGUGUCAAAUUAUAAGUGUUUUUGGACAAAAAAGAAAAGAAAAGAAAGACAAUGCAAGACCAUCCUUUUUAAGUUAAAAACCAAAAUUUGAGUUUCAUUCAAUGAAAAAUAGCCUUAUAUUUUGCAAAAAUCAAUUCGAGCCAUUAUCACGGGGGUGACGUCGGGCUGUCGAGCUAUUGUGCCUCCUAAGAGGUAUUGUUAUUGGAAAGAAAAAAGCUUUGGAUUUAAUCAUUAAAUUAAGAUUAAGGUUCAGGAGUCGCCACCUAGUAUUAUGGUUACUAGAAAUCUAUGGUCUGCAAGAAUCUGGGUAAGGGACUGGUUGUGCAAGGGAAAAACACAUCACUCCCAGUCCACCCUACCUAAGGUAAGCUACGCUGUUGGUUGACUGUUUUUCUAGGUUGGGUUUCUAUUCAUUGGUUUUUUUCUAAGGUCUAAGGCAGAUCUCCCUUCAUAAGAGAGUCUCUACCUCAUCGGGUUUAAUCCUAACUAUUCUAAAGUCUAAAUUUUAGCAUCACAUUUAUUUUACACUUUGUAUCUUUAAUAUCUAAGGGUGUACUCUGUUGUGUAGUUUUACACCUCACAAAUAUUAAAGUCGACAUCAAAACCAAAAAAAAAAAAUGAUUGAUAAAAGGUUUUUAAUAUUUUGGCCAAAUCCUAAUAAAUAAUUAUAAACUGGUUAAAAUAUCUAUUUUUUUGUUUUUUUUUAAAACAUGAGAAAGAUGUAAUUUUUUUUUUAUGAAAACAUGCUUGAAUUUUUUUUUAAAGAUUUGACCGUAUGCAUGAAAACAAAACAUUUUUUGUUUUUUUUAAAGGGAAAUUAAUUUAAAAGUUUUGAGAUUUUUUUUGAAUUUUCUUGAAAGGUUUUAGAAAUAUUUCGGAGAAAAUCAGGUAUUUUAAUACCAAAUUUGUAUCUUACAUUGUAAAAAUACAACCCAAUAUUAAGCAAAAUUGAUAAAAAAAACAUGCAAGAAAAUCACAAAUUUUUUUGUAAGGAUUUUUUUUAUUUUUUAUAAUAUUAUAAUAUAUAUUAUUAUAUUAUUAUUAUUAAAUAUAUGGGUUGGGCCAAGCCUAGCUAUAUGGCUCGAGCCCAUCUGGUUGGGUUGAGAUCGGCCCAAAAGGGGUUGGGCCGCAAUCUGCCCAACAGAUAUGACUUUUUUUAAGAAAGGGGUCUGGGUCGGACCCGGCCUAGCCAUUACGGGUUAGGCCAAGAUGGUCCAGCCCAAGACCAUUAAAAUGGCAUUUUGCCAUUUGCAUGCGAAAGGAAUUCUGCAUGCAAAUGGCUGCCAAGAGGGUUUUGAGGUAAAAAAAAAAAGGGAGAGCAACCUUGCUUGGUUGGAGGUGGAGGGUUAUUAAAGGUGUUCUUGGUGGUGCAGGGAAGAUCGUGCAUGGUGGAUAGAGGUGGUGAUGUCGGCGAAGGUGGAUAAAAAGAGGGGGCAAGUAUGGCAGGUGUAAGAGAAGAAAAAAUCUAGGGAAAAAAAUGGUUUUUUGCCAACUUUGUACACUGAUUUCUUUACGCUCAGGCCCUUAAAUCCACUCCUAUUUAUAGGGGGUGGAAGAGGGCAAUCUUGUCUUUACUGGGAAAACUUUCGGCCCUUGAUUCGGCUGGAAAUGAUCUCAAUCGUUGGUUCAAAGUAGGCACCAUGAACAGUCAAAUUUGAUAAUUAAAGGCUGUCUGAGCUAACCUCUUUAAGUUGGCACCACGAUCGUUGUGGUGUCAAUUGAUUAGAAAAGACGACACUCGAGUGUAGUAAGAUGCCACAUGAUCGUUUUCGUGCAAGUUUUGUCAAAUUUGGUGGAGAUAUGAAGCAUUAAAUGCACCUGAAAAGUAGUCACCCGGACAGCUUUUCAGGCAAAAAUUGAAGAUAAUGAACAGUAACUAGACGACACGUCGUCUAGUUCCUCUUUUUUUUUUUGUUAAAGGGCAAUGUUUUGGAGUUUUGUAGGGUUUUAAUUUAGGAUUUUGGUCAAAGUUCAAUUUAGUUCUCUAAUGUUUAAUUUAUUGUAAUUGCACCCCUAAUUGACCCUAAGCUUUUGAUUAAAUGCAAUGCAGUCCCUAGAAAACUGCACUGUUGACCCCGAAUUUCAGCGCCUUUUUUAUUUUGGUCCUUGAUCUCGGAUUUCUUUAAUUUAGCCCCUAAUUGACCAUUAAACUUUUAAUUUCUUGCAAUUUUGCCCCUAAUUUCUUGCAAUUUUGCCCCUAAUUUCAAUCAAUUGACUUGAUAAAAAUUAAACCUGGUCUCUUAAAAUUCCAAUAUUCUCAAAUAAGCCCAAAUUGGGCUUCCAAACUUAAUUUUUUUUACCAAUUAAGCCCUUAAUAAAAUUAAUUUGACCAAUUUAAAGUAUAAUUAAGUCCUUACACAUAAUUAAAUACUUGAAUUGGACCCAAAUUAAUUCUUAAACAUAAUUAAACUUGAAUUUGGCCCAUUAUUAAAUCAAAUUGGUCUAUUAAAAAUUUAAUUAUAUCAUUGGACUUAAUUUUUAUGCAGAUUUAUCUAAUAAUUAUUUAAUUUGACCUUGAAUUGUAUUGUCUCUUCAAUCUUGGAGUGCAAUGGGUACAAUGGGGUACAAUUAGGUCUCAAAUUUCCUCUAAAAUCACAGCUUGAUUUUUCUAUAUGUUUGAAAUCCUCCUCGACCUGCUUUCUCCACGAUGUCAACUUUUGUUAUGUUCUUAUAUUUUUUGUUAUUUUAUUUUGGAAGAAAAGAAAGAAAAUGUAAAUUUGAGGAAUAACCCAGAAAUGAAUUAUAACAACCAUCAACUUCAGAACCCACUUUGGACCCACAUCUAAUUAUAUCCUGGUAUUUGAGUGAUAUAUUUUGACUUGUGACUAAUUAAUCAAACCUUAAGAAAUAAAAAUAUUUUCAAGUUUACAUUGAAUGAGUUUUUUGUACAAUAAUAGAAAAACUAUUAAAUUUAUUGUUUGAUCUCAAAACAAAGUGGUUUGUUUAAAAGAAAUGUUUGUCUCAACUGCUUUUUUAGUUGACUUGAAUUUGCAAGGUAUGAGCUGAAAUGCCAAGUAAGUGAACAUAACUAAAAUUAUCCAUUACAACCAAUUGGGUUGAUAAAGACCAGAACGCAAGGGGCAAAUGGAUGACAUAUUGAUAAGAACCCCAAGUAACAACAUGUUGAAUUUGAAGCAAUUAAGUUGGUGUCCAACCCUUACAAUACAUAUUUUUAUUUUUUAAGGGAUUUCAAAAUAAAUAUCAGUUGAAGAAAACAGCAUAUAAAAACAAUUACAUAUAUUGUCAUUGUAAGGAACUUCAAAAUACAGAGCAGUAAAAAGACCUCAACAACACGUUAGUAUAGUUAUUUAACAAAAUAACACUAUCAUUGGCAUUUUAAACCAAACAGCACUAUUGACUGCGAUUGCUCUUCUUUUAUAUUCCCCCACGUAUCUGUUUCUCUUAUCAAACCAAGAUACCUGAUAGCAGUUAUCAAUCAUAAAAAUCACAGCAGCCAUGAUCAUAGAAUUUCAUAUUCUUCACUUUUAAAUAAAGCUUAUAAUUAUUAAAUAGAAAUAUAAUUCUCGAAAUUGAUCACUAGAGUUUUAGCUUAAUAGUUAUUAAACAUUUAAGAGCCCAUUAUCUCAUUUAUGUGUAUCCCAUCUUACAUUCUCCAACUUGGUUUACAUGAUAAUCAUUUUUUUUUUUUGUGUAAAUACAUAUCAAGAUGACUAUUCUUACCUAUGCAUUCACUAUGUCAAGAUGACUAUUCUUUUUGGUAGAAACACAUUGUCACCAUGUCAAGAUAACCAAUUUUUAUUUUGUAAAUAUCACAUGUAGCCACCAUGCUAAGAUGCUUAUUCUUUUUCAUAAUAGCACAUACAAUCAUGUGUCAAGAUGAUAAUUAUUUCAUUAAGUAUUUUUAUGGUCACCAAGUUAUGACUGCUUUGUUUUUUAGUCUCACACAUAUAAUAACCAUUAGAAAACAAAAAAAAACAAGUCAUGAACUCUGAACAUUCAUGAAUAUUUAUUAAUUAACAUUCAUUAAUUAUGAAUAUUCAUCAUAAUUAAUAAACAAUAUUCAUGAAUUAUAAGUGAUUACUAUUUUGGUUUCCGAGUCUUAUAAAUAGUGCCUUGGUUGUGUGGAAAAAGUAUUCAAGAAUUUAUUGAGUUCUUUUUUUUUUUUUUUUUGGUUUUUCUAUGACUUAUUCUUCUAUUCAUUCUUUCUAAUCUAGAGCUUAGGAUUAGUUCUUGUAGACAAAUCCUGAGUAAUAUUUUCUUUGUUCAUUGGACCUUAUUUAUGAGUAUAGUUCAACAAGGUGAUGUUGAGAUCCUAAGAGGCUUAUUAAAGAAAGUUAUUUUGCGCCAAGUAAGGAUAAAUAAAGCCUUAAGGAUAAAAGAUUAAUCCUUGACAAGAACAAAAAAUUCAGAUUGGUUAUAUUUUAAAAUCUUCAAACAAGUAAGUACUUUAAAGUGGAUUUUUUUAAGUAUAUUUUUUAUUCAUGUUUAGUGUGCAUGCUAGGAUUGUAUUCAUAUAUCUUAUGCAAGUUCUUAUAUUUUUGUAUGAUUAUAAACUAAACAAAUAUGCUCACUUACCCAAUCAUCUAAUCAUUUUGUGACUUUUGGACAACAAUCUUAUGGCUUUAAAUGCUACAUGUUAUUUGUUUAGCUAAUACAUGUGUUCUUUGCGAUCUUGAGUAGUAUGCCUUUUGUUUAAUUAUAUUAAACAUAUUUAUAUUAGCAUGAUGCAUGUUAAUAAGACCUAAAAUUUUAUAAUUGUUUUUUUUUAUCUUACCUUGUUAAAAAAAAGACUAUUUGUAUGCUUUGAUGUAUGCCUAACAACCUUUAGAACUAAUCUUUAUAAGUUUGUUUUGAGUUUAUACAUGUUUUGGAAAUUUAUUGGUAUGUUCAUACAACUUGUUAAAAAACAUUUUAAAAAAUAUUUUGUAAGGCUUUUAUGCAUGCUUUAAGUAUACCUUUUUGAACUAUAUAAAGUGUUUAGUUAAAUUUUUGUUGUUGUUAAUCUUGAGUUUGAAAACUUGCUUAUACAAGUUUAUUUUUCUUGUUUUACUUUAUUGUUUUGAGAAGUCAAUUUUAUUUCUAUAAUUUUUGAAAUUAUUUGACAAAUUUUAUUGUAAAUUUAACUUGAGAUUUGGUUAGUUCAACCAAUAUUACUUUGGCAUUUACUACUUUAGUAGUGAGAAUUUUACUAUCACCUUUUGUGGUGUAUGACGAGAAAUCUAAAAAGUUAAAUGGAUUGAAAUUUAAGAUUUACCAACAUAAAUGUUGUUUUAUGUGACCAUUUUGAUCAAGGAAAAGUUUCUGUAAAGAAAAACACCAAAGUUGUCAAAUAAUAAAUUCAAUUUUAUUAUUAUGGUAGCUUUGGACAUAUAGAAAUGAAUGAUUUUGUGUGUAAGAACAACAUCUUGAAUAGAUUGGACAAUACACAAUAUGAUCUGUAUAGUUCAAAUAAGAGUGUAAAGGCACUUUGGACAAAAAUGUUCAAGGUUAAAGGUGUUAUUAUGAAAAUUUUCAAGAUUUAAAGAUGGUUGACUCGAAGAUUGUUAUAGGUUAAGUUCAAGAGUUUCAACUCAUUGUGCAUAGUAUUUAUGCAAAAGAUAUGGUUAUAAUUGAAUCCUUUUAAGUGGCUGUAAUUUUAGGAAAAUUGGUACAAUCUUGGAAACAAUUCAUAAACUACCUUAAGCAUAUGAACAAGGAAAUGGGAGUUGAAGACCUCGUCUUGAAGCUAAUGGUAGAAAAGGAUAAUGAGUUGUCAAAAAACAAAUAGCUAACUCUUUUGGUAUAGUCUUUAAAGCAUGCUUUAUGGAACAAAUGGUGAAGUUCCACAAUAAAGACAAAAAGACAAAGCUUGCUGAGAAAAGGAAAAGUAAUACUAAAAAAUUUAAUGGAAAAUGUUUUAUUUGUAACAAGACAAGGAACCCAACCUAUGGUUGUAGAAGUGGGGCUUGGAAAAUGCUAAUAAGCAUAACUCCCAAUUUGAUUGUUGGAUCAAGUUUUAACUUUACCAUAAGUUUCCACAUAACUUUUUUUUAUAUUUGGUUACAAUUUCAGGUUAAUCAGAGUUUGGAAAGGUAUCACAAUAUAGGUUAAAAGUUUAUGUAUGAGUUUAAGUAUUUGUUUCCUUAUGAUUUGUGAACUUUUUAUUUAACAAGUACUCUUUUUCUACAAGGAAAGUAUAGAUUACAACAAGUAGGAUUAUUUUGGCAAGGGUUUUCAUGUCAGCAACUACAAAAUAUUUUGCAUGAAUAUAUUAAAGUCAAUAGUGUGUCAUUGUUUACCAAGGAUUCAAGGAAAAUUAUUUGCCAAGUCAGCAUUGGAUUUUUUUUAAAGUCGACAAAUUGGUUUCUACUAGUGGAAGCUUUUGGAUUAAUUAUCUAUAUCGGAAGCUAUUGUGGUAUUAGAUGUCCUAAUGUUACAAGGCAUAAAGGUUGGUUAUAUUAAAAAUUCAAGAGUGACAGUAAUAUCUUUAUGUUACAAAGGUUACUUAGUUAUGGCAACUUAGAAUUAUAUUAUUAUUAUAGGUUUAUUUAUUUUUAUUUUGGGUUUAUUUUAAUUGGGUCUUAUGUUAGCCCAUUAGUCUAUUAGGUUUAGUUCUUUUUCAACACUAUAAUUACCAUUCUGUAAGUAUUAUUAUUCAGAUUGGUAUUAAUUAUUAAUGUUGCAUAUUGUGUGCUUAUAUGUGAGAGGGUUCUCAUACUUUUUUGGUUCUUUAUUGAAUUGUCUUGACUUAUCAAAGAAUAACUAUCUUCGUGGCAUCUUAUUGGGUAAGGGUUUCAUUCUAAUAGUUUUGAUGUCUUAGUUUAGGUAAUCAUUAUGUCAAGCUUUUAUCAACCAAAUUUGAUUUUAGCUUUCUAGGAUUCGUUCUUUCUUUCUUGCGUGUGGGUUCUAUGAUUCUUACCUUCUAGGUUCACAUCAAUUGGUAUUAGAGAAAAGCUCUAAAAUCAAGUUUUAUUUAUCUUUAUUUUAGUUUUUGUGUUAAUUUCAUCAUUUUGUCAAAUUUGAUUGCUUACGAGAACUAGUAUAAAAAAGGUUGAUAUGUUUUUUGAUUGAUUCAAAUGAGUAGAGUAUAAAAAAGAAGAAAAGAUCAAUGAGAUAAAAAAAAUUAAGAAAUUCUGCAUCAAAUUGAAUCUUUGAAAGUUUGAAAUAAAAAAUUAAGAAAUAUACACCUACAAUUAACCACCAAUAAAGUCAGGUGAUUAUAGAACAGAAAAGUUAUGCGGAUAAGCGAAGGAGACCUUUGGAGUUUCAAGUAGGGGAUCAAGUAUAUUUGAAGGUUGCUCCAUGGAAAAAUAUUAUUUGUUUUGGGAUGAAAGACAAAUUGGCGCCAAGGUGGUCCUUAUGAAAUAUCAGAAAGAAUUGGACCUGUUGCUUACUAAUUAAUACUUCCUCCUUAAUUGUCAAGGAUACACGAUGUAUUCCAUGUAUCAGUAUUGUGUAAGGAAGAAAUUGAUACAUCAUGCAUUAUACCAUCAAUGCCAAUUGAGAUUCGAGAAGAUCCGAUAAAAAUUCUUGAUCAAAGCUUCAAGGAGUUAAGGAACAAAAUUUUUGUUAGAAAGGGAGAAUGUAAACCCUGAGUUAUUUAUGGUAAUAAAAUAUAUUGUUUGCAAAAUAAAAAAUAAAUUGUAAAUCAAGGGUAUGAUAAUAUUUUAGGAGUCAGGAAAGAAUUACUUUAAAUUAAAAGGAUGGGCAUUGUGGUCAUUGGAAAACAAAAUUAGCCCUUUUAUUCCAGCAAAGGCAGCUGACCAUAGAGGAAAAAAAGAGAGGAAGAAGACAAGCUUAAGAGAGAGAAAAAAUGCAAAGAAUAAGUUAAAAAGGGUAAGGAUGAGUGAUUUUAGCUAAGAUUCUCUAACAAACAACGAAAUAAAAGAGAGAAUAAGAGAGCUUAGAAAUCAAAGUGGGGUUUUAGUGAGAGUUUAGAGAGAGGAAGAAGGUGAAUAGUGACCAGGGAGGGCAUCACAGUGACACUUGAAUCAUGUCCAUUACACUUAGGUAAGUUGUUUUUAAGUAAUAAUUUCAUAGUUAAUUAUGUUUUUGACAGGACACUUAGAAAUUCCUAAUUUGUAAGGAAGGUAAGGUUUAUACUAAUGCUGGCAUUGUGAAAAUUAAUUUAGAUUCUUGUGUUCAUUAAUGAUGAUGUUAAGUUUAGAGUGUGUUAUUGAAAAAAAAAAAUGUGUGGGAGAAGGAGGAAAUGGCUAAAGUGGCUGACUAUAAAGGAAUUUAAUUUAGGAAAUAGAAAGUGUGGUUUUUAUGGAAGAUGAUGGAAGGAUAGAGUAAUGGAAAGUGUAGAAGAUUGUGUUUUAUGUGUGUAAAUUAUUAGAAUAAGUGUGAGUGUUAUAACACAUAAGAUGAAGAAAGUAAGGCUAUGAAAUUUUAAUAAAGUAUGCUAUGAAAAAAGGUUAAACUUGAGGUGUUUAUAUUGUGUAAUUGGUGGAGAAGAAUAAUUAUUUGUAUUUAGGAACAAGAAUGAAUUAUGCUAAAGUUGUUGAUUAUUAAUAAGUAAAGCUUUGGAAAAACAAAAGGAGAUGUUGUGAUAUGAGGAAAGCUAAAUAGAAUAAGAGAUUGAAUGAUAAAAAGGUUGGGUUUACAAAUGGAAAUCACAUGAAAUAUGUUGAGAAAAAAAAUACUAUGAGUUAGACAUUAUUGGAAUGUUUAUAUGAAGAGAUGAAAUAAUUAUAAGAUUAAGCUUAAAUCAUAUAUUUUGAUCAAGGGAAGCAUUAUUGGUUUAACUAAUACAAAUGUCUUUCAUUUAGUGUUAGGAGGAACAUAUGAAGUCGGGGAUUUUAGCAGAAGGAGCUCGUGCACCAAGAGUGGCAAGUAGUUGUUUUAUUUAAAUAAUUAAAUUGCCCGAAAAAAGAAAAUUGAAAUAUGGAUACAAAACCAUGUAAUGUAAGAAAAUGAUUGGUGUAUAGUGAAUAUAAAGGAAAUUAUUGUGUUGUGAAUGUGAUUAAUAAAGGAAAUUUCUUGCGUCAUAGGAUGAAUUAACUUGAUCUCCUAUGAAGUCAGAGAUUAAAGACAAGAAAAAAUAUAACUUAGUUGUCCGUAUAUUCAAGAAAAUUAGAGUUAGAUAAUUAACUUAAUCUCCCAUAAAGUCGGAGAUUAAGGGCAUGGAAAAAGAUAUCUUAGUUGUUUGUGUAUUCGGGAAACUAAGAGUUAGAUAAUUAACUUGAUCUCUCGUGAAGUCAGAAAUUAGAGGUGUCACACGUGUGCGGCUUCAUGAUAAUCUUCCACUUUAUUGGUUUUAAGUAAUCGGGAAAAUAAGGGAGACAAGGAUUCCUUGUCUUUUAUUAGUGGAAAUAGAAAAUGGGAGUCGCCACCUAGUUUUUAGUUACUAGGAACCCUAACUGGUCUCAAAGAUCGGGCACAUGGAUAGAUUGUGUAAAGGGAAGGUAUUAACACCCCAACCCAAAUACGCCUUAUCUAAGAUAAGUUGUAUUGUUUGAUUGUUUGAUAUGAACUAAAGUGUUGUUAUAUUUCUAAUUGUUGGUCAAUCUAAGGUCUAAGAAGAGUUCUCCUCAGUAAGGAGAUCCUCAUCUUUUUAGAUAAAACCUAACCGUGUUAGUGUCAAUACAAAGAAACUAAUUUUUAUUUAAUAUUAGGAAUACAUUUUACGUGUCAGUUCGUAAUCCUGGAUAUUAAAAGAAAACAAAAUAAUUUUUUUGGAAUUUUUGAAAUAUUAGCCUAGUUCUCGUAACUUUAAUAAAUUGGUUAUUAAAGUCAAAAAUGCAUGCUAAGAAAUAUUUUUUGGAAUUUUGUUGUAUAAAAAUACGAUGUGAUUUUGUGUUUUAUCUUUAAGAGACUUGACUGUAUGUAUGAAAACAAAACUUUUUUUAUAUAUAUUUUUUUGCUACAUUUCAGAGAAAACUGGACACUUUAAUACCAGAUUUUAUAUUUUUAUAGUACAAAAAUACCAACCAAUAUUAACCAAAAUGGUAGAAAAAUACGCUAGAAAAUCACAAAUUUUUUGGAAGGAUUUUGAAAAUUUCAUGAAAUUUCCUUUGUUGCUUUUUUUUAAUAUAUAUAUAUAUAUAUAUGUAUAUAUAUAUAUUUAUAUAUAUGUAUAUAUGUAUAUAUAUAUAUAUAUAUAACAUUAUAUAUUAUAAUAAUGGAUUGGGUUUGGGUCCAACCCAAUUAUAUGGGUUGAGCCUAACUUGAUGAGGCUAAGCCUAGCCCAAAAAGGAGAUGGGCCAUGACCGACCCUAAAAAAAAAGACAUCGGGCUGCAAUGAGCCUAUAAGGAAACUGGGUCGGGACCGACCCAAAACAAAACUAGGCCAGGACCGGCCUAAAAAACAAAAACAAACUCCUUUUUAUAAGGUUGGACUCAGCCCAGCCGCGUGGACUGGGCAGAUGGUCCAGCCUGAAGCAACCAUGGACUGGUUCCUGUGCUGAGCACAGUAACCGGUUAAUUAUAAUAAACCGGUUACUGUGUUCAUGCAAAGUAACCGGUUAAUUAAAUUGCAGAAACGUGAACAAUGCACAUUCUGCAUGCAAUUAAACAAACAGGAAGAUGAAAAAGAGAAGGAGAGUGUUACCUGGAACAAAAAGGGCUCUGGUAGCUGAGCUGGCGGUGGCUUGUGGUGGCGACCAAGAAGAGUAUCUGUGGUGGUGUCGUGGCUCACGGACAGCAGCUCCAGGCAACGAUGGUGAUGCUACUGUUAGUAACAGAGAGAGAGAGUGGCUAUGCUUCUUCUUUCUGCCUCUGUUUUUUGUUUGGUGAUGCUACUGUUAGUAACAGAGAGAGAGAGAGAGUGGCUAUGUUUCUUCUUUCUGCCUCUGUUUUUCAUUUCCUUCUUUGGUCCCCGAUGUGCUAUCCUUUCUCUUCUGUUUCCCCUUCCCUUUUUGUUUUUCCUUUUUGCCCCUAUUUCCCCUUGUUUCCCUCUGUUUCGUUCCCCUUUUUUGUUUUCUCGCUUCUCUCCCCUUCUGUUCUCUCUUUUUAUUUCUCAUUUUAUUUCUCUUUUUCUUCGUUCUCCUUUUUUUUCUCUUUGCUUUCUCGUAUUUAUAAGCAGGAGGAGAGGGGCCACCCUGUCUUGUCCCGUCAUAGCGCAGGGUAGGAUGGCAUGGGGCAUUCUUUCUAAGGCAUGACUCCCCUCUCUUUUCUUCAGCGUGAUUACAGGACGUGUGAAGAGGGGUACGAGUUGUCAGUGUUUGGUCAAGUUAAGUGAAGAGAGAGAAAGAGAGAGCAUGGGAAAAAAAAUAUUCAAAAACCUUCUUCUUCCCCUACUGUACAUCCAGGGGAACAAAAAGAACAAUGUUGCUCAAAACAACAUCGUUUCGGGCUUCUCCUCCUUUUUUUUAAGUGAACAGUGUAUGAAACGUCGUCGUUUUGACCAAAACGCGCCAUUUCAAUUAAAAAAAUGGCAAUUUUGAAUUUUAAAAUUAGUCCUCAAUUUUUGAUUUGUUCAAUCCGUCCUUAAUUGCAAUUUUGAUUUUAAAAUCAAUUCAAUUGCAUCCCUGCCAAAUUCCAACGUGGGCCUUGAUCUCAGAUUUAUGCAAUUUAACCCUCAAUUGAUCAACAAACUUUAAAUUUUUUUAAUUUAACCCCUGAUUCAGUCAAUUUCAGCCCCUCUAUUUGCACGCAUUUUCCAGUUUAGUCCUUGGUUUUGGAUUUCUUCAAUCAAGUCCCUAAUUGAUCAUCAAACUUUAAUAUUUAUGCAAUUGACCAAAUCAACUCUUAAAAUUAUAAUUUGACCCCUAAACUUUAAUUUCUUCCAAUUAAAGCUUAAAUUGACUUAAAAAUCAUUUUUUCUUGCAAUCAAAACCUCCAUAAAUUCAAUUAAACCUUCAAUAAAAUUUAAUUGAGUCCAUAAACAUCUGAUUUUGGACUUUUCUUCCUCAAAUUGAAUUUUCUUCGUCAAUAGGGUUUUUAUCAGUCGAAAAUAUACGUCAAAUUUCAAUCUUUGUAUUUUUGAACCUCCUCAAUCAAUUUUUGGCCAUUUUCUUGGCUCUCUAGCAUCCUCUUCUCACUACUACACAUAUUUUUUAUUUUUUUUGUAUUUUCUCCUUUUUGUAUGGGGACCUAAAAAUAAGUAACAACAAAUGCCCCCUUUUUACAAUACUUACGAAGCAAAGACUUUGCGUAGUAAGUUUUGUAAAGCUAUAAAAAAACUAAACUCUUGAAAUAGAUUUUCUCAAAGCUUGGUUGAUCUGAAGCUCUGCCUUCACAACAAUCCCCUUCAACCGAACACUAACGAUCAAAACUAUGUAUAACUCGGUCAUUCUUCGAUCCCAAUUUGGCGAUCCUCUAAAUUCUGUCUUUUGUUGGGUUAACCUGAAAUCCCAUCUGACGAUUCCUUUUAACCAGAACCUAAAAAUAUUCUUCCUGAUGGCAGGGUUUGAACCCCCUUUUUUAUUUGAUAAUUUCCUGAUGGUAGGGUUCUUCUCACUUUUCUUCUAAUACUAAGAUAAUGUUGGUGACUCAGUCAACCUGAGAUCCCAUUUGGUGAUCUCCUUUAACUAGGACCGAAGUCUCUCUGUAGCUCGGUCAACCUGGAAUCCUAUCUGGCGACUCCCUUUAACCAAAACUAAAAUCUGUAUGUGGUUGGAUUAACCUGAAACCCCAUCUGGCGAUCUUCUUUAACCAGAACCAAAAUUUUGUGUGCAGCUUGGUCAACCUGAAAUCCCAUCUGGCGACUCCCUUUAACCAAAGCUAAAAUCCAUGUGUGGUUGGUUUACCUAAGACCUCAUUUAGCGAUCUCCUUUAACUAGAACUAAAAUUUUAUGUGUAGCUUGAUCUACCUGAAAUCCCAUCUAGCGACUCCCUUUAACCAAAGCUAAAAUCUGUGUAUGGUUGGGUUAACCUUAGACCCCAUUUGGUGAUCUCCUUUAACUAGAACCAAAAUUUUAUGUGCAGCUUGAUCUACCUAAAAUCACAUCUGGCGACUCCUUUUAACUAAAGCUAAAAUUCGUGCGUGGUUGGGUUAACCUAAGACCCCAUCCGGCAAUAUCUUUUAACCAGAACCAAAAUUUUGUGUGUAGCUUGGUGAACCUGAAAUCCCAUAUGGCAACUUCCUUCAACCAAAACUAAAAUCUGUGGGUUUUAACAAUCUUUUGACUCGUCUGAGUCGGUUUACAAGAAUUCUCCUAUAACAAACAAAAAAAUCUUGUGCAAUGUUUGAUGUUGAAUGCAUGCUUUCUUGCCUGGCUUGGAAACAUAGGUUCCAUUCCUUCAAUUUUGCAAAACUCUCUCCUAACAUGAGCUUAUUCACGUGUUUGAAAUUGUAUGCUGGACCUGUUUCACGUGUUGUCUGUUUUACCCAUCAUAUCUUCAGGAAAAAAAAGUCCCCACCUUUUUUGCAAGUGGCCCAUUUCUCAAAAAUAUAUGUUUUGACAUUGCUUUUCAUUAUGCUCUUAUCAGUGCUUUAAUUUUUCUUUUUCAAAUUAAAGGCUUUUUGGUUCUGUUUCAGCAUAAAAAAAUUUCAAGAAGAAAAAUAUUUAAAAGACUUGGUUUUGUUCAUAACAAGUGAAACUUUGGCAUCAAAAACUCUUUUAAACAAUCCCCCUUGAGAUUUUUAUUGAUUUCUAGAAAUAUGGUUUGUCUUUAGGUUAGGCUUUUAUUAGAGGUGACCUUCUGUAUAAUUUUUUCAAAAAUUUCCAGUAUCUACUUGAAAGGGCUGUGUUGAAAAAAGGAUUGUCUCAUAUCAGCAUUUUUCUUGUUUCGAUAAAAGCAGGUUAGCACUCAUUUAUCAAGUCGUGUGAAUCGUAAGAGCAACAUCUAUCAACCCAGGUUGUGUGCGCUUGAUUAAAAAGGACUUCUAAAGGCAUGUAAUGUAAGCUACGACUGUGGGAUAUGAAAGAAAAGGAUGCUUUUAAGGCUCAAAAGUGUUUGAGGGUUUAAAGACUCAGGAUCACUUUUCUUCUAUCUCUUAUUCUUGUGAAGUUGUCUCGGAGAUUGUGUUUGGAGAAACUUGCUUAGGAAUCUCUAUCUCAGUCUUAAAACCUCAUUAAAUCAUCAUCUCUUUUUUUCUUUCCACUUUCAUGAUGAUGCCCCUAAGUGUUUGGUUUUGACUUUCAAAGAUCCAAGUGUUUUUCUUGGUAUUUUUCCCAAACUUCCUCUCCUCUUCCUUUUUAGCCUUUUCUCAAUCAUUGGACUUCUAUUCGUAGCCUUCUUUUUACAGUUGAUUGUACUAUUCUCUUCAUUUUUUCUAAUAAAAGAUCUCUUUUUCCCCCUAGUAUGGGUUGUGAUCGUGAUCAGGGUUUUUAUAAAAAAGAAGCUUAUUCCGGCUCAAAAGGGGACCCCUAAGGAUAUAAUCUUUAGAAAGUGAAAGGAUAACAAAGAUGACAUUUUCUCAUUUCAAAACGCACAUUGUUAGGAUUGAUACACUUUGUUCUUGUCUUGAAAGAAAAUUGCGAGUGAUUACCCAGCCAAUCAUUUAUACAAUUCAAAAUGCUACCAGAGACAAUGUUUUAUCUUAGGGUUACCUUUGGUUUGUUAGGUUUGGUCACCUCUUUACCAGGAAUUGCUUAAACAUCAUCUUUGAGCAUUUUAUGAUACAUUAUUUAAGUGUUGUGAGAUCAAUACAAUGAAGAAAAAAAGGGUUCUUUGCAUGAAGAAAUCAUGGCCAAACUUCACUUUAUUGAUUUUGGGAGAAAACUGAACACAUCAUACAUAAUAUCUUUUUAUAGAAUCAGAAUUCACAGGUCUAGCUAGAUCUUCCCCAUCUAUUCUAGACAACUUCAAAGCUCCUCCUGAGAAAGUCUUAUUUACUACACAAGGACCCUUGUAAUUCGGUGCCUAUUUAUUCUGAUCUUCUCUUGGUAAGAACAAUAUUUUCUUCAACACUAGAUCUUUUUCUUGGAACAAACAAGGUCUAACCCAUUCUUUUCUAGUAGAGUUGAUGAUAACAAAUUGCAACUACCCUCUUUUCACUGAUAAGAUUUAGUUGUUCAUAUCUCACUUUGGCCCACUCAACCUCUUCUAGUUUGGAAUCUAUCAACACCCUUAACAAGGGGAUUUCUACUUCCAAAGGCAUCACCGCUUCCAUCCCAUAUACCAGAGAAUACAGAGUAGUUCCUGUCGAGGUUCUAAUUGUUGUGCGAAAUGCAUGGAGAGCAAAUGGUAACAUCUCAUGCCAAUCUCUGUAAGUGAGUAACAUCUUCUGAAUAAUCCUCUUGAUGUUCUUGUUGGCGGCUUCCAUGGCACCAUUCAUCUUCAGCCUAUAUGGUGAGGAAUUUGAAUGUUUGAUUUUCCAUUUGGUACAAAGCACUAAUAUCAUUUUGCCAUUAACAUUAUGUGUAUUAUCAGUCACUAGCUUUUCUAGAGGGCCGUAUCGACAAAUCAAGUCUUUUUCUAUGAACCUCUUUACCACCUUUUGCGUUACAUGAGCAUAUGAACUCGCUUCUACCUAUUUUGUGAAGUAGUCGAUAGCCAUGAGGAUAAAUAUAUGUCCAUUACUGGCUUUUAGGUUAACAAGCCCAACCACAUCAAUUCCCCACAUUGCGAAUGGCUAGAGAGAGGCUAGAUUAAAUUGUGGAGCUGGAGGUGCAUUGACCUUGUCACUAUAAACUUGAUAUUUGUGACAUUUUCUGGCAUUUUCAAUGCAGUAUUUCUCUAACAUCAUCCAAAAAUAACUUGCCCUUUAUAUUUUUCUUGCUAACAUAUGCCCAUUAGCAUGGGUUGAGCAAGUCCCUUCAUAGACUUCUCGCAAUGCAUUUCUAGCCUCUAUCUCAUUCAAACACCUUAGCAAGGUUCCAUCAAAUGAUAUUUUAUACAAAAUCUCUCUGUCCAAAUAGAAAUCAAUGGCCAAACUCAAGGUUUUCCUAUUUGUUUUGGAAGCUCGCACAAGGUAUUCUUGAUUAUGCACAAAAUUCUUCAUAUCAUAGCACCAAGGGUUUUCAUAUAUCUCUCCUUCAAUUGAGUAACAGUGAGCUGAGUAGUUUUUGAUGUCAAUAUGUAUUGGUUGUACCUUAUGCCCGAGAUCAAUUAUAGCUAAUAUGGCUAAAGCAUCAACAAAAUGGUUCUCUUUUUUCCUAGAUGGGUGAAUUCUACUUCUUCAAAUUCUUUUACCAAUGUGGAUAGAUAUUCCUAAUAUAUCCUCAACUUUUAUUCAUUGGUUUGUCAUUCUCCUUUUAUCUGAUAGAUAAUCAACAUUAAGUCGCUAUACACAUCUAUCUUUCUGAUCUUCAGCUCUAACGCAGCUUUUAAAUCGAGAAUGCAAGCCUUAUACUCAGUUGUGUUGUUGGUGCACUUGAAAUACAACUUUACUGAAAUCGGAUACUGCUUCUUGUCAGGAGAGAUUAUUACUGCGUUGGCCCCAUUACCAUAUAUAUUCAUUGCACCAUAAAAAAGCAUGGUCCAUCGAUUUGUCUUUUCUUCUUCUUCUAUUGACAUUAUAUCUUCAUCAAAGAAGUCAAAAUCCAAUGGCUCAUAAUCUUCAAUAGCGUUAUCAACCAGCUGGUGAACAAUUGCACUUCCUUUCAUGGCUUUCCUCGUCAUAUACACUAUGUCAUAUUCUACUAACAAGACCUGCCACCUUGUAAUUCGGCUUGAGAGAUAAGGCUUGUUGCAGAUAUACCUCAAGGGGUCCACCUUUGAAAUCAACCACGUGGUAUGAUACAACAUAUAAUCUCGUAAUCUUUUCGUCGCCCAUAUAAGUGCACAACAAAGCUUUUCUAUCACCGUGUAUUUAGACUCACAUAAGUGAACUUUUUACUUAGAUAAUAAAUAGCUUUUUCUUUCUUCCUGGUUUCAUCAUGCUGACCUAAUACACAUCCCAUAACUGCUUCAAUCACUGCCAAAUAUAAUAUCAAAGGUCUCCCCGACACAGGAGGAACAAUCAAAGGCAGAUUCUGUAAAUAAUGCUUGAUUUUAUUGAAGGUCUCUUUACACUCCUCAUUCCAAGUCCUAGGAUUAUUUUUCCUCAAUAGGUAAAAGAUAGGUUCACAUGUUGUUGUUAGUUGAGCUUUAAAUCGGGCAAUGUAGUUCAAUCUUCCCAAAUAUCCCCUUACCUCCUUCUCUAUCUUAAGGGAUGGUAUAGAUUGGAUGACCCUUACUUCAUCUGGAUCUGCCUCUAUACCUCUGUCACUUACCACGAAUCCUAGUUGCUUUCCAGACUUGACUCUGAAUGAACAUUUCACAGGGUUGAGUCUUAGUUCAUACUUCCUCAAUCUCUCAAAUAACUUUCUUAAAACUUUGACAUGGUCUUUUCCUUUUUUGAACUUGGCAAUCAUAUCAUCUACAUACACCUCAAUUUAUUUGUGCAUCAUAUCAUGGAAGAGCGUCACCAUGGCCCUUUGAUAGGUGGCCCCUGCAUUCUUCAAACCAAAUGGCAUAACCUUGUAGUAAUAUGUUCCCCAUGGUGUGACAAAAGUUGUUUUUGCCUUAUCUUCUAGAGCUAUUUUUAUCUAGUUGUAUCCCAAAAAGCCAUCCAUAAAGGAAUACAUGGAACUAUGUGUAACAUUGUCGACCAAAAUAUCUAUACGCGGUAGAGGAAAAUCAUCUUUGGGACUAACUCUAUUCAAAUUCCAGAAGUCCUCGCAAACCCUAAUCUUCCCUUCUUUCUUUGGCAUGACAACAAGCAUUCCACUGCUUCUCGUGCUCCACCUUGACUUUGAUCCCAUGUAUAUGGAUGGGCUCUCCUCAGCUUUUCCUGACUGAUUUACAACCUUUUCCCAAUGGUAUCUUGUGCACUACAAUACUUGUAUCCAAGCCCAACAUAUCUUUAUAAGACCAUGCAAACAAAUCUAAAUAUUCUUGUAGUAAGGCAAUCAUUUACACUAUUUAUUUAGGAGUAUUUAAGGUCCCUAUUUUCAAAUCUUUCUUAAACUGAUCGUUACCAACAUUUAUGCUUCCAAGUUCUUCUGCAUCGGGUUUCCAAGUUUGUUUAUGUUGCUCUACUAGCUUUGUGAAUUCCCUAAUAUUGCUAUCAUAUGUUUGUUAAAGUUUGACCAUUCAUUCUUGAUGCUAAGUGUAUGUGAUGCUAUGAAAGAUCCACUUUUAAAAUUCCUGAAAGCGGGAAGUGUUUGGUGUAAAUGCGCUAAAAGAUAAUUUUGGAAAAUGCAUGAUCUCAUAUUAUAAAGAAAAGGUAGGAUUGAUGAAAAAAAGACAAAAUCUAGCUGACAUCAUGAGCCUUGAUUGUCAACCAGAAGUAAUAAAAGAAGCAAACAAAAGCAAUGACAAAAGCAUGUUAAGACAAACAAAGUUGGUAUACAUUUUAAACACUACUGGAGCUUCCUGGAUCUUCCAGUUUUGAAAUUUUUUGCCCUUGGCCAGCUUUCGUACAAAGGUUUUGGCAGAGACUUCUUCUAGAGUAUGGACAGUCAGUUGUGGCAAUGCUUUAUCUUCCUCUUCGGCCACUGUCUUAUGGUCACCUCCUUCCACCUUAACAUAGAGAGAGUGGCUCUGUUUCUUCUUUCUGCCUCUGUUUUUUAUUUCCUUUUAUUUUUCCUUUCUUACUCCCUGUUGUGCUUUCCUCUCUUUUGUUUUCCCUUCCCUUUUUGUUAUUCCUUUCUGCACCUAUUCUCCCUUAUUUUCCCUUGUUUCCCUCUGUUUCUUUCCUCUUUUUUUCUCGUUUCUCUCCCCUUCUGUUCACUCUUUUUGUUUCUUUUUUUUUUCUUCGUUCUCCUUUCUUUCUUUCUUUUUAUUUGUCUCUCUCCCCUCAAAAACUCUCUUCUCUAUUCCCCUGUUCUUUUUUUUCUCUUCUCUUCCCCCCUUUUUUUUUCUCUGCUUCCCUAUAUUUAUAAGUAGGAGGAGAGGGGCCACCCUGUCCUGUCCCAUCAUAGUGCAGCGUAGGGUGGCAUGGGGCAUUCUCUGCAGGGCAGGGCUCCCCUCUCCUUUCUUCAGUGUGAUUACAGGGCGUGUGGAGGAGGUACGACUUGUCAGUGUUUUGUCAAGUUGAGGGAAGAGAAAGAAAGUGAGCACGGUAAAAAAAACAAAUUCAAAACGGGAAAAAACCUUUUUCUUCCCCUGCUGCAUGUCCAAUGGAAGAAGAAGAACAAUGUCGUUCGAAAUGACAUCGUUUCGGGCUUCUCCUCCUCUUUUUUUAAAUGAACAGUGCAUGAAACAACAUUGUUUUGACCAAAACACGUCGUUUCAAUUAAAACAUGGCGCUAAAAUAUGUUAAUUUCCAAAUUAGUCCUAAAUUGAUUUGAAAAUCAAUUUUUCUUGCAAUCGAACCCUCCAUAAAUUCAAUUAAACCUUCAAUAAAAUUUAAUUGAGUCCAUAAACAUCUGAUUUUAAACUUUUCUUCCUCAAAUUGAUUUUUCUUCAUCAACAAGGCUUUCAUCAGUCGAAAAUAUAUUGUCAAAUUUCAAUCUUUGUAUUUUUGAAUCUCCUCAAUAAAUUUUUGACCAUUUUCUGGGCGCUCUAGCAUUCUCUUCUCACUACUACACAUAUUUUUUGUUUUCUUCUAAAUAUAUUUUUUUGUAUUUUCUCCUUUUUUGUAUAGGGACCCAAAAAUAGGUAACAACAAAAGCCAUGGAAAAAGAUAGGUUAAUUGUUUGUGUAUUUGUGAAACUAAAGGAUAGACGAUUAACUUGAUCUCUCAUGAAGUCGGAGAUUAAGGGCAUGGAAAAACAACAACUUAGUUGCUGUGUAUUCGGAAACUAAGGGCUAGAUUAAUUAACUUAAUACUCUGAAGAAUUAAGAAGCCGGAGAAUAAGGGUAUGGGAGAUCUAUUUAGUCGUACUCAAAAUUGGAAAUUUGAAAAUAAAGAAGUAGGGAGAUCGAAAGUAAAAGGUUAAAAUGAUCUUAUAAGUGGUGAUGAUCAAGUAUGGUCCUAGGGAUGCUUUUUUUUAUGUUACUUAAUUAAGAGUAAACUAGAUUGUGGGUAAAGUUCCUUAUUAAAAUGUUAAGGCUUUAGAAUGAAUUUUAAGAACACACACACACAUAUGAUGUGGAAGUGAUAGAGAACAUGUUGUUGGCAUGUGGAUUUGGGAAAGAUGAUAUCAAUAUAUGUUUUUCUUGUUUUUCUACAGGACCCUCACAUUUUGUUGGGCCACAUUGACCAUUAUCUUAUUUUAGUUAAUUAGUAUAUUUUGGUUAGGUAAUGCUUCAUUUUGUAAAACUCUAUAUUGGUGUAUUUUAAAUUAAAACUUUACAUUCUUUUUUGGAUUGUAAUAAUUUAUAUGACUUUUUGUGUAGUAAAUAUUAAAUUCUUCUCUCCUAGUAUUGUUAAAUAUAAUUCAUUUUUUGAUGAAUGGUGGUGUAAAUUAAUUGUUUGGAAGGAAAAACGAAAAUGCUAAAGAUUCUUAUGUUGGAUUUGCAUGAGACUGUUCUAAAUUGAUUUGGGCUGUGAAUUUGCUUAAGUGCAGGUACUUGAUAAAUGUCAAUAACUUGGUACCAAUAAAACAAAGAAAACUCUGCUGAAAUUUUUAAGAAAUAAAUGGAUUUUUUUCAUUAAAAGAAAAAAAAAACAGGGUCUUUUAUUUAACAGAAUUAGAAAUUGGGGGUGUUACAAUCGGGGAUAGCAACUUAGAAGUUAUUGAUUACAUAGUCGACCCUUGCAAUGGGGACUAUGGAUUUAGUUUGAUGGGGAUGACAAUAAGGGAUGCUGAUCACUUAGUUAAACAUGUAAAUGAGACUAAGGUUAUGGAAUUGAUUACUUAGUUGACUGUGAGAACGAGACUAAGGUUAUGGAACUAAUUACUUAGUCAACCAUGUGAACAAGACUAAGGAUAUGAAAUUGUUACGUAGUCGGUCAUGUGGACAGUGACUAAGGUUAUGGAUAUGAAAAAAUAAUAUUAAAAAAAAUAUGAUUUGAUGGCAAGAAAUUAAUAUGUAAAAUAUAAAUUAACCACAACAGUGAGAUUUAAUUUAAUGGACCGCUAUGGCAGAAUUUAUUACGUGAGAUAUAAAUUAAUCACCAUGGUUGGACUUAAUUAAAUGGAUCACUAAUACGUAGAAAUUAAAAUGAUUGCUAUGGAAAAUUUUAAUAUGUAAAAGAUUAAAUUUGGUUUCAAUAGUGGACCUAGAUAGAAAAAAAUAUAUAUAAUGUGGAUAAGAAUAUUUGAAUGGGCCAAAAGUGGGCACAAGAAAUAUUUAAAAUGGGAAAGUAUUUGACAAUGUAAAAAAUGAGCAUAAGAACUAUUUAAGAUGGAGAAUAUAUAUAUAUAUAUAUUCGCAAUUUAUAUGGGUAUAUUGCCCUUUCAUCACUCAACGAGACUUACUAUCAUUCAGUAAUGUUCACCUGUAGUUCUAAUGUUUUCUUUGUUCAACACCAAUACUGUUUCUUAUAAUACUAUUUCUACCUAGAUCCCAGUAGGCUCUGAUACUAAAAGACAUAAAGAGAAAAUCAAGUAAAGAGAGUAAAGAGAACACAAAGUAAAAACAAAACCAGUAAAGAGAAAACUCUCUACCUUUGGAAGCUCAGGAGGUCUCCUUUUAUAAUGGAGCUGUCAUGGAAGAGGCCAAAAGACUUUUGAAAGGCUGAAGAUUAUUUUUGGCACUUUGUAGUUGGCCCUGUGUUCUUGUUCCCCAUGGUCAAGAGACGACAAUCUUGGAAAUUGCCUUUGAAUUUCAUGGGGUUUUUCUUUAUUGUCUUGUACUCACCAAUAAUUGAUUUGUUAUUUCAUAGCAUCAAGAGAUUUUAUAGGAAAAGGCGUGAAAUAAUGGGUAUGAAAAAAAGAGUUUAAAAAUAAAAAGACUGGCCCUAAAAGAAGGCUCAAAACAGGUGAGCCUAAAAUCUUGAAAAUAAUUUUUUUUUAUGGAUUUGUAAAGAUGGUAGGAUGCCAUAGUAAUCAUCUUCAUUCUCAUUACUGAGAAGAGUAUAUGAUCCUAAGGAUAAGGAGGCUGAAGAAGAGGAAAACAAAAAUUCUCCUUUUCCAUUAUUUAGGAGUUGUUUCAUGACCUUAAAAUAUUCUUCUUUGGAUUUGGAAGUUGCCAAGAGUGCUGAGGCAUGGGCUUUUUAGGCGAGGAAAAGGGUUCGAGACUGGUCUUGUAGAGGUUGUGGUUCUUCAAUGCCAUGUCUGUUGUUUAAAGAAAGCCAUAACAUUACAGCAAAUUCAGAGCUUUUAUUUUCUGGCGCAAAAAAGUCUCGCCAUUUGACUUUGUAUCUUCUAAUCAAAAUUACAUGAGCAUACCCAAGGCACAAAGAAUUUGGAACAAAACAUAAGCAUUUGAGGAAAUUUCUUUUUUCUCUCGGUGCUUCUAAAAUUCUGUUUGAAAAGUUUGUAGCCUUUUCCAACCACAGGGUGUGGGUGCAGGAGUUCAAUAAUGCAAUAAAAGUAAUCCCACCAUUGACGGAACCAGUUUGGUAGUUUUGUAGUAUUCAUGGAGUUAUCAAAAUAAAAUAACCUGAAAUGGCUUCCUUUGGAGUUUUGGAGAAAGAAAGCAUUAAACCAUGCCUUUUGGUAGUCUCAAUAGGAAUAAGUUUGGAAAUAGUUAUGUAAUUUGAUUUGAAAGCUGAUAUGAAAAUGAAUCUCAUGAUGAAGAGGUUGUUUCCAAUCAGUUGGAUGAAGGACAUCUUGGACGAUACCGGUGGAAUAGGCUACUUCAGUAUGGUGUUGUUUGAGGUUAAAAUCUUGAAAUUUUACUGAACCCGUGAUUUUAAGGAUGACCAUGUAGUAAGCAUGGGUUUUUAUAGUGUCCCAAGGUUUAAAGUACCACCCUAAAGGAAAAAAUUUUGUAGCUGUGACCAAAGGAUCAGGAUGGUAAAAUCCAUCUUCAACAGUUAAAACAUUUUGAAAAUUGUUUUUGAUGAAAUAUUUGGAUUUUGGUUUUGAAGAUGUUUUCAUGAAAUUGGUUUGGGAUAAUGAGAGAUUUGUAGAUUGAAGCAGAGGUUUUUGAGAAGAAGACUCUGCUUAGGUUUUUGAAAUCAGUUUAGAAGUUUUACCUGAUUGAGAGGAUUCAUCCUCUUGAGAGGACUUCUGGUUUAAUAAGUUGCUUUGAAAUUUUGUAAUGCAUAGAACAAUUGGAGAAAUUUCUUUCUUGAUGGUAGAGUAAUUCUUUUGGCAGUCAUUCUAAUGGGCAGAAGUAAAUUGAAGAAUUUGUUCUUUAGAAUUUUGAACUUGUUUGAGAAUUCCUCCAUACCCCAAUUCAGACGCAUCUGUUUCUACAAUCUUAGGAGCUAAGGAAUUGGCUAGAUGAAGACAAGGGAUUUCUUAGACUUGUUUUUUAAUCUAACGAAUGAGAGCAAUAUAUGCAUUGGACUAUGGCACUGGGUUUUUUCUUUGUCUAUCAUGAAGGGUUUUGCAAAUUAUAUCAAUGAAUGGAAUUCCAAGAAUAAUGGUAUGAUUUAUAUCAUUUGUAAUAACAAAGAAAUUUUUAAGAUAAAAACCAUUAUUGAGAAUGGAUGCUAGAGUUUUUCCUAAAAGAUGAAGUUUGGAAUUGUUCGCUGCAGAAAGUUUUGUAGAAAUAUUUUGAAGAAAUUGUUUAGGAAGUACUCCUUCUUUGAUGCAAUUUAAAUCAGCACUUGUAUCAAACAAGGUAAUAGUUUCUAAUUUGUAGUCUUCUGAAAAAAAAACUAAAGUAAUUUUUAUUAAAUAUGUUUUUGAAGUAAUUUGCAUUAAAACAUUUAAAAAAUCUUAAGGAAUAUGUUCAAUGUAUGAUAAUGCAUAAGUCUCAAGAGUUUGUUCUUCAAAUUCUGGUUCAGAAUCUGACUAACUUUCCAACUUGGUCAAGAGGUGUUAUAAUAUUACUGAGUCUUUUUAUUAGGCUUGUUUAAGGGUUUGUAACUCAGACUUAAGGGUCUUAAUUUCUGACUGUAACUCUGGGAUAGUCGCUAUAGGUUUGGAUUUCUUUUUCUUGCGAAGGAUUUUUGUAAGGUCAUAAGUGUUGGGACUAGUUGUAGGGAAGAUGAAAUGGUUCUAGAUUGACCAAGGUGUCUCACGUUUCUUGAAAUUAUUCAACAGCUUAUCUAAAUAGGAUUUUUGUAAUUGGGGAUCAUCCAAUCUUUUGAUGGCUUCAAGAAUAAAUUAUUGGUCUCUGGUUAAGACAUUAAGUUGUUUGUGGGAUGGGGUUUCAGAAUCAGAACUAGAAGUUGCCAAUUCUUCUAUUUGGAAAGCUUCUUCCGAAGUGAAAGGAUAUACAAUAUGAUGUUCGAAUGCAUAAUACAUUUCAAACCAAUCAAAAAAAAAGAUUUCGACUUUAUGUAAUGUGAUGAAAUCAUAAAAAUAUUUUUGUAUCUCGUGUCUUUGUUGUAAAAAGUUUUGAAAAAACAAAAUCUCUUAUCAAAGUUAUGGGUACCAUAAAAAUCAUUUUUGAAAUAAAUUUUCUCAAUAACAAAUUCUUUUCCUGAAGUCAAAAAAUUUAGCUUGUUUUGGAUGUUUUCUAUGAUUUCAGAAAAGGUUGGAGAGGUUGGAGGGGAUUGCUGUUUAGGGUUUGCAUAAAAAGGUUUAGGUAUAUUUGUAGUGUAAUCUACAUUUUGGAAGCUGGUAUUUGGAAUAUCAAAGGUUGAUUUCCUAAGUGGAUUUGCAUGGUAUAGUAUAUUUAUGAUAGAAAGGAUUUUAGAGAUUUUUCCUAGAUCUAUAGUACUGGAUGUGGAAGACUCAUCUGAAAACUUGGAACUAGUUGAGUGCCGAUGGAAAGACAAUUUGACUUUUCCAUCUAUAUAUUCAGUUAUUUCUUUGAUCUGAUAUUUGGUUUUGGUGGUUGUGGUGAUUGAGGUUGUGUUACACCUGCAAGGAUCCAGUCCUCUAGAAGGGUUAUAUCUUUCCACUAGAUGGCUCUAGGAACAAUUGUGUUUGAUCUAGAAAGGUCAAUUUUGAGGAUUAGGGUUUCACCUUUUUAUGAUUGGAAUUUGUGUUUGCUGGAAAAGGCUGAAAACAUGGCUUUGUAGUGAAUCUUGAAGAUCAAAGCGACUGGAAUUGAUCCUUCAAGCAUAUUGUAAUUGUGGGUUUUUAUUUGUAAGAUCAUGCUUUCUAAGUUAUUUCAAUCUUUAAGGGAUAUAGUAGGGUUUGGAUAACUGGAUCACUGCAUAGGCUAGACUCAAUAGAACUUAGUAAGGAAUCUUGGAAAUUUUGAAAUCUAGUGUCUCUGAGUACUACUAGAAUGGAGGUAUUGAGACCUUCGUUGGUAAGAGGUUUGAUCCCAACCUGUACAAGGCUGAUAUGGAUAUAUUUGUAGUUUCGAUCUUGAUGUUUUUGUAGGGUUUUAGGAGAAACGAGUUGGAUUGUUUCAAAGGGUUUUGUAAGCUGAAUAUCUAUUUAUUUAGUUUUGAUUGUAAAAUCAGUUUUGAAAAGAUUAAAUUUAGAAUUUUGAUAAAUUUGUGUUUUUGAAAGUUUUGGAAUUUUCCAAUCAUCAAUAUUUUUUGUAAAAUCUUCAAUUGUAAUUUCUUCACUAUUAAUAACUCUUUUACUUUUAGAAGAUUCAAAGGUAGAGGAAGCUGAAAUAGAAGUUGUUCCACAAAAAACAAAAUUCAUGAUUUUAAAGAUAAAUUAAAAAAUACAGGCCGCAAUUUAUAUGGGUUUACUACCCUUUCAUCACUCAACGGAACUUACUAUCAUUCAGUAGCGUUCACCUAUACUUUUAAUGUUUUCUUUCUUCACCACGAAUAUUGUUUCUUAUAAUAUUAUUCCUACCCAGAUCCCAAUAGGCUCUGAUACCAAAAGACAUAAAGAGAACACAAAGUAAAAAGGAAUAGUAUUAUAAGAAAACCAGUAGGCUCUGGUACCAAAAGACAUAAAGAGAACACAAAGUAAAGAGAAAACUAGUACGUGUUGUUACAUCUGAGAAUGAUCUAAAGAUUAGGUCAUAGAUGUCCAACCAAUAUAUUGGAUUUGAAAACACAAGAAGUUUCUGAUGUGAAUGAAGAGGCAAGUCAAUGACAGGGUCCUUUAACAAACAUAGAGCAUACUUAAUUUUACAAAAUUGUAAAUAUAUAUAGUAAGAUAAUGAGCUCUAAAGUAAAGAAUCUUACUUAAAUUUGUAUAGAAACCAAUACAUGAGAUAUUGGUUAUUAGUUAUAGGAGAGUGUUUAUAUAUAAUUUUCUUCAGUGUAUUUCGCUCUGCCUUUAGAAGCUUAGAAUGUCUCCUUUUACAAUGGAGCUAUCAUGGAAAAGGCCAAAAGACUUUUUGAAAGGCUAAAGAUUCUUUUUGGCGCUUUGUAGUUGGUCAUGUGUUUUUGUUCCCCAUAGUCAAGAGAUGCCAAUCUUGAAAAUUGCUUUUGAAUUUUGUGGGUUUUUCUUUAUUGUAUUGUACUCAUCGACCAUUGAUUUGUUAUUUUGUAGCAUCAGGAGAUUUUGUAGAAAAAUGCCUAAAACAAUAGGCCUCGAAAAAAGAGUUUGAAAAUGAAAAGACUAGGCCUAGAAGAAGGGCUCAAAAUAGGUGAGCCUAAAAUUUGGAAAAUACUUUUUUUUUAUGAAUUUUGUAAAGAUGGUAGGAUGUCAUAUCAAUCAUCUUCAUUAUCAUUACCGAGAGGAGUAUAUGAUCCUAAGGAUAAAGAGGCUGAAGAGGAGGAAAACAAAAAUUCUCCUUUUCCACUGUCUAGGAGUUGUUUCAUGACCUCAAAAUAUUCUUCUUUGGAUUUGGCAGUUGCCAAGAGUGCCGAGGCAUGGGCUUUUUGGGCGAGGAAAAGGGUUCGAGACUAGUCUUGUAGAGGUUAUGGUUCUUCAAUGCCAUGUCUGUUGUUUAAAGAAAGCCAUAACAUUACAGCAAAUUUAGAGCUUUUAUUUUCUACAGCAAAAGAGUCCUAUCAUUUGACCUUGUAUCUUCUUAUCAAAAUAACAUGAGCAUUUUGGUCGUUGUAGUUAAAUUACUAUGAGCAUACCCAAAGCAUAAAGAAUUUGGAACAGAGCAUAAGCAUUGGGGGAAAUUUCUUUUCUCUCUCGGUGCUUCUGAAAUUCUAUUUGAAACUUUUGUAGCCUUUUUCAACCACAGGGUGUGACUGAAGGUGUAAACCCCAGGGAAAAAUAAAGGUUGCUUAGAUUGCAAACUAACUACAUGAGAAACAAAAGUGAAGAAAUUCAUGCAUAUGGUUAAAUAAAAACGGGAAUUCGGAAAUUUUUUGAUAUAAGUUUUUGGACGAAAUACUUCGAGACAUUAUAAAUCAACCCGAAAAUAUUGAGGGUUGGAUUAAAUUAAUGAAAAUAAACUAAACUAAAAGUUGUGGGGUGAAAUUAUACGAAAUGAAAAGAGGUAUAACUUAAUUAUAAGAAGAAAAAAAGAUGUGGGGGCCUAAAUGCAAAUAAGAAAAAUUAUAGAGCAUAAAUACUCCUAUUCUCACCAAAAAUCUGCAGCAAUCGUAAGGAAAGAAAAGAGGGAGUUUUUGUAUCCAUUCUUGCAAAAUCAAGAGAGAAACACCAAAAUUUCAAGAACCCAUCCAAGAUUAAGGGUUUAUAAAUGGAAUAAACACUUGUGGGCAAGGGAUUAACAAGAAAAUUGAACAAAAAGAGCAGAUGGAGGGCUGGCUAUCAUUAGAUAAGAAAGGAGGGAGUUCAAAAUCUUCAACUGGUUGAAGAUCAAAACCUUAAUUCGUAACGGGUAAGGUGUUCUAAACAUGAUCUUAUAAGUCAUUUCAAAUUCGAUAAUGAAUUGAUGUCUUGAUGUGAGUUAUAGAUUAGGGUUCUUAGACUUGAAUUGGGGAAAAAGUAUUUGUUGUUAAAAUUAAGUUAAUUCAUGUGUGGUAUGUGAUUGGGGAUGCGAAACCAUGAUAAUUUACCCAGAAAAUGUAGUUUGUGAAAGUUAUGUGUGAAGGGAAGGGGGGUGACGAAUCUGGACAAACUCAUCUCCUGACUUUCGGUAAGAUUUCGAAUAUGAGGAUGAGGGAAUUAGAACCAAGUUCCUUCAUAGCAAUUGUAGUUUUAGAUGUUAGCUAACUAAGGAAAUUGGUCUUGCUCAUUUUGGAGCAGUAGAACUCCAGUUAUGGGUUAUCAACCGAGACUGGGUCAUGACAGACCCUGUAGGGCAGUAAGUCUGAUUUGUUGAUGAGCAAGUAUGAUUGUCUUAGAGGCUGAGCUGGGUUCUCCUUCCUUCAAAGAACUUGUAGACCCAUGUCUUAGCUUUCCAAAGACCAAUCUUGCUUGAAACGAAGUUCUAUAACUCUAGAUAUAGUUAAAAAUCUGAAGAGAGGUCGGACAGUAACAGUCAAUAUCUAGACAGUGAUGGUUGGACAGUAAUAGUUCAAUGCUUAGACAGUAACGGUUCAAGAUAGUAACAAUUCAAUAUCUAGAUAGUAAUAGUUCAAGACAGUAACAGUUCAAUAUCUAGACAGUAACAAUUCAAUGUCUAGAUAGUAACAGUUGGACAGUAACAGUUCAAAUGUUUGUUGAUGAGCAAUUUUGACUGUCUUAGAGGCAGAAUUGGGUUCUCCUUCCUUCAGAGAACUUGUUGCCUCAUGUCUUAGCUUUCUAACGAGACUAAUCUCGCUUGAAUCAGAGUUCUAUAACUCCUAAUAUAGUUAAAAAUCUGAGGAGAGGUCAGACAAUACCAGUUCAAAAACGAGACAAUAACAGUUGGACAGUAACAGUCCAAAUGUUUGUUGAUGAGCAAUUUUGACUGUCUUAAAGGCAGAACUGGGUUCUCCUUCCUUCAGAGAACUUGUAGCCUCAUGUCUUAGCUUUCUAACAAGACUAAUCUCGCUUGAAUCGGAGUUCUAUAACUCCAGAUAUAGUUAAAAAAUUAAGAAGAGGUCAGACAACAACAGUUCAAAAACGAGACAGUAAUAGUUGGAUAGUAACAGUCCAAACGUUUAUUGAUGAGCAAUUUUGACUAUCUUAGACAUAGAACAUGGUUCUCCUUCCUCAGAGAACUUGUAGCCUCAUGUCUUAACUUUCCAACGAGACUAAUCUCGCUUGAAUCGGAGUUCUAUAACUCCAAGUAUUUGUUGUUAAAAUUAAGUUAAUUCAUGUAUGGUAUGUAAUUAGGGAUGCAAAACCAUGAUAAUUUACCCAGAAAAUGUAGUUUGUGAAAGUUAUGUGUGAAGGGAAGGGGGUGACGAAUCUCGACAAACUCGUCUCCUGACUUUCGGUAAGAUUUCGGAUAGGAGGAUGAGGGAAUUAGAACCAGGUUCCUUCAUAGCAAUUGUAGUUUUGGAUGUUAGCUAACUAAGGAAAUUGGUCUUGCUCAUUUUGGAGCUGUAGAACUCCAGUUAUGGGUUAUCAACCAAGACUGGGUCAUGACAGACCCUGUAGGGGCAGUAAGUCUGAUUUGUUGAUGAGCAAGUAUGACUGUCUUAGAGGCUGAAUUGGGUUCUCCUUUCUUCAAAGAACUUGUAGUCCCAUGUCUUAGCUUUCCAAAGACUAAUCUCGCUUGAAUUGGAGUUCUAUAACUCCAAAUAUAGUUAAAAAUCUGAGGAGAGGUCAGACAGUAACAGUUCAAAAACGAGACAGUAACAGUCCAAAUGUUUGUUGAUGAGCAAUUUUGACUGUCUUAGAGGCAGAACUGGGUUCUCUUUUCUUUAGAGAACUUGUAGCCGCAUGUCUUAGCUUUCCAACGAGACCGAUCUUGCUUGAAACAAAGAUCUAUAACUCUAGAUAUAGUUAAAAAUCUGAGGAGAGGUCGGGCAGUAAUAGUUCAAUGUCUAGACAGUGACAGUUCGGGAUUUAAACAGAAACAGUUCAAAUAUAAAGAAAGGAACGAUAAUUGUUGUUGGACAAAGAACAACAAUAUUAAAAUGAAAAAAAUAUUAAGAAAUGACUGAAAGAAAGACUUAUUGGUUGUUGAUAUGGUUAUACAUAUCCUUGAGUGAGGAAAAUUUAUGAGAUAAACCUGUGAUUUGCAGGAGGGACCACAGGCGUGGUGCAACAGUAGCAGCAGGGGAGCACCUAUACUUUCUAGUUAAAUUCUAUGAUUUAAUAUGUUAUUGAUGUGAGAUGUGAAUUACCGAACGUUGGAUAUUAGGAGAAAAGAGGAAAGUUUGCAUAAUGAUGCUGAUAUUUUGGAUAGUAUUCUGAAUGUAUAUGUACUCAAGGUGAACAAUUGUUGUGUGAAUUGCCAAGUGAUGAAAUUAUCAUUGACAAAGGAAUUAUGAGAAGUGUGAUUGGGGCGUGAACUAGCAUAUAUUUAGUAUAUGUUAGGAUCCCGGGUAAGGGGAUCAAGAUGUAUUGAUUGGCAUACAUUUAGUGUAUGUUAGGAUCCCGGGUAAGGGGAUCAAGAUGUAUUGAUUGGCAUACAUUUAGUGUAUGUUAGGAUCCCGGGUAAAAGGAUCGCCGUGUAUUGACUGGCAUACAUUUAGUGUAUGUUAGGAUCCCGGGUAAGGGGAUCACCUUGCAUCGACUCCUACAUGGUGGUGAUGAUAACAGUGAAAUUGGUAUCGGUAAUGUGUUAAGCAAAAAUAAUCAUGGGUGGUCUUAUGAGAUCUUAAAUGGAGGUUGAUAAUGGAAAAGGAAAAAACUUUUAGUAGUUGAAGGAGAAAGAGUUUCCAAUGACAACCAAAAGGGAGAAGUGAAUAAAAUAUGAAUGCAUGUUUGCCUUUUUAUAAUUGUUGGAUAUUUGUAUUGCUUUAUUAUUGUGAUAUUCAUAUUUGAAUAAUAUGUAUUUUGUUUUCAGGACCAUCGCAUGCACGACAGGAGUAGAUUCUAGCUUAGGUUCACUUUUUUAUAAAUUAGAUCCUAGGAAGUAUACCCUUGUAUUUUGGUAAUAUUACUACUUUUAUAUAACUCAAUUUUUGUAAUUGAUGUUUAAACUGAAAUAGAUGAAUUUAAUUAUGUAGUUUGUAUAACCAUGUUCCAUGUAUGCAUGUUUAUAUCUUUAUCCAUCCAUAAUGAUAAUUGUUGUACAAUGUAUAUCAUAAACAUUAUGGUUGAUAUGAAUGAUGAUGUUUGUGGGAUUGGGACCCAGGAUGAUUGGGUUGAAUUGAGUUAGGAGAUGUGGUAUAUUAGAAGUGUAAACAGGUCGUAUGUCGAUAACUUGGGACCUCCUGGUAUAGGGGAGACUCUAUCGAAAUUUCAGUAGACUUUAAUACAAACAUCAUGAAUAGAUAUAGAAAAAAAAUAUUAAUCACUCUGUUUAUCAGUUAACAUGAGAUCGUUGCUUUAUCCCAGAUAUGGGGAUGUUACAAACUUGAUCCUAAUUCCUUCAUCCUCCUACCCGAAAUCCCUCUAAACGUCAAGAGACGAAACUGUCCAGAAUCGUCAACCUUUCCAUUUACACACAACCCAUGAAGUUAUUUAAUUUAGCAACUAAUACUUUUUUUCCUCAAUUCAAGUCUAAGAACUCUAAUCUAUAAUUCAACAUCCGAGCAUCAAUUCAUAAUUGACUUUGAAAUUACUCAUAAAACCAUGUUCAGAACACCUUACCCAGUAUGAAUCAAGGUUUCGAUCUUCAACUCCCUCCUUUUUUUUCUAAUGACAGUCGGCCCUCCCCUCUUCUCUUAUUGUUCAAAUUUUCUUGUUAAUUCCUUGCCCACCAGUGUUUAUUCUACCUAUAACCCUUAAUCUUGAAUGGGUUCUUGAAAUUUUGGUGUUUCUCUCUUGAUUUGUAAAAAUGGAUACAAAAACUCCUUUUCUUUCUUUGCGAUAGUUGCAGAUUUUUGGUGAGAAGAGGAGUAUUUAUGCUCUAUAAUUAUUCUUAUUUGCAUUUAGGCCCUAUUUUCUUUAAGUGUAUUCUUUUUGCCCCAACAUCUUUUUAGUUUAGUUUAUUUUCUUUAAUUUAAUCCAGCCUUGAUUUUUCCAAGGAUUUACAUUCUCCCUUUCUAAUAAAAAUUUCGUCCUUGAAAUUUAAGUUACGUACCCAUGUCGGAGAAUAAGUGCGGAAACUUCUCCUUCAUCUCAAAUUCUCUUACCCAUGUUUCUUCUUCUAUUCGAGAGCUUCUCUACAAUACGCUCACCAAGGGAACUCUCUUAUUCCUCAACAACUUCUCAUCUCGAUCUAAGAUCUUGACGGGCUUAGCUUUCAUGGUUAGAUCCCCUUUAAUCUUCAUAGGAACUUGUGGCAAUACCCAUGAGAGGUCUAUCUUGGCCUUUCACAGCAAUGACACAUGGAACACAUUGUGAAUCUUAUCCAAAUAUACAGGCAAUUCUAAUCAAUAGGCAACUAGCCCGGUUUUUUCCUUAAUCUCAGAAGGGCUAAUAUAUCUCGGGGCUAAUUUUCCUUUUACUCCAAAUCGAAUGAUGUCUUUCCAAGGCGCCACCUUCAAAAAUACCUCAACCCCCACUUGGAAUUCCAAAGGCCUUCUUCGACUAUCUGCGUAACUUUUUUGUCUAUCCUGGGCUUUCUUCAUCCUCUUCGAUUAAUCACCCUCACCUUGUUAGUUGUCAGUUGCACCAUUUCAGGUCCCAAAAGCUUCAUUUCUCCUACUUCCUCCCAACAAAUUGGGGUACGACAUUUCCUCCCAUACAAUGCUUCAUAUGGAGCCAUACCAAUAAUAGUUUGAUGGAUAUUAUUAUAAGUAAACUCCACCAAUGGUAGGAGAUCCUCCCAAUUCCCUCCAAACUCCAGCACACAAGACCUCAGUGGAUCCUCAAGAGUUUGAAUGGUCUUUUCAGAUUGACCAUCCGUCUGAGGAUGAAAUGUCGUGCUCAGAUUCAACUUUGUCCCUAUUGCCCGUUGCAAGCUAGGCCACAAUCUCGAUGUGAACCUUGGAUCCCGAUCCGAUAUAAUUGAAAUUGGCACCCCAUGAAGUCUGAUUACUUCAUCUAUAUAUAAUUUUGCCAGCUUAUCCACUAAAUCAGUCAUCUUCAUAAGCAAAAACAAAGCAGAUUUUGUUAGUCGAUCCACGACCACCCAUAUGGCAUCAUUCCCCUUUUUUCCCCUGGGUAAUCUCGUCAUAAAAUCCAUAAAAAUAUCCUCCCAUUUCCAUUCCGGAAUUGAUAAUGAUUGUAAUUCCCCUACAGGUCUCUAGUGUUCUAUCUUUACUUGUUGACAGAUCCCACAGCUCGACACAAAUUCUACUAGUUCCCUCUUCAUAUUUGGCCACCAGUAGUAUUCCUUUAAAUCCCUAUACAUCUUUGUACUCCCAGGAUGAGUAGCAAAUCGAGAUUCAUGAGCUUCUCUUAAUACUUCAUCUUUCAAAGUCUUAUCCUCAAGCAAAUAAAUUCGCCUACCCAUAGCUAUUAGCCCAUCAUAUAACAUUUGAAACGAUGUCUUUAUACCCUUGUUUACCCUCUCCUUGAUCUCUUUUACUUUCCCAUCUGCUUGUUGUGCCAUGAAGAUGUCGUCUCGAAGCACAUAUCGGAUCUUUAACUGAGCUAACAAUGAUCCCUCGGGCCCUACACUUAGCCGCAAGCCCAUUUUCUUCAAUUCCACUAUACUUCCCUGUCCCUUAAUUUCCAUAUCAUUCAUCACUGUUUUUCCCUUCCUACUCAAGGCAUCGGCUACUACAUUAGCCUUACCACGAUGGUAGUCAAUCACACAAUCGUAAUCUUUUAUUAACUCUACCCUUCUUCUCUGUCGCAUGUUCAACUCCUUUUGUGACAUCAAAUACUUCAAACUUUUAUGGUCUGUAAAGAUUUGAACUUGUGUCCCAUACAAAUAAUGUCUCCAUACUCUUAAGGCAAACACCAUCGUUGCAAGUUCUAGGUCAUGAACCGGGUAAUUCACCUCAUGCGACUUUAGUUGUCUUGAUGCAUAAGCAAUAACACACCCGUGUUGCAUCAAUACACAUCCCAGACCCCUUUUUGAGGCAUCACUAUAUACCACUGAUUAGUACUUAAAAGUGCAUUUUUAUCAAGGUUUUAUAUCAUUAUUUUGCACUUGAAGUAUCAAUAACUCCUUAACUAAAGCAUGUUUUAUAAUAACGUAUCUAAUAAUAUAAGAUACCUUUAAUUUAUGGUAAAUGUUCAUCUUAAAUGCAGGCCUAUCACAUAAAUGAAAGAAUUGAUUGAUGAGUUGAAGUACUGAAAUUGAAAGGACAAAGAGAUGGCCAAACUUAGAAAAGAGAUGUUGGUGCAGUCCAAACUGGAACAUUGUUCGGUAAUCGGGCUAUAUCUGGAGCUGUAGAUCUCGGAUUGAGGUCUACUUUAUAUGGAUGGAAAGGUAAGACAUAGUCCUACAACUUUCAUGCGGAGCCCAAGAUUUAAUAAGGCCGUUUUCGAGUCCAAAUUGUAGCAACAAUGAAGAAGCCCGAAUCUGUCCUGCAACCCAGACACUGUUCAGUGUUCAGCCCAUAUCUCGAGUUCUAGAAGUCCAAAUGAUCUCAAAUUUUUAUCCUGGAAAGAUGAGACAAUUCCCUAGAACUUUCAUGAUUUAAGUUUGUUCAAAUUAUGACGUCAUCAAUGACGUUUUUGGCAGACAAGAAGAUAAGAAUUGUCACCAAGUCAAGAUGUGGCCACCCACUCAUCAAUUUGUCAACAAAUCAAUAGUUCCGAAUUUUGGCCUAUAAAAGGAGGCAUUUGCCAUGUAUUUAGGCAUCUUGGUUUACAGAUCAAGAUCAUGCUUUUGCUCUCUCUUUAUAUUUUGUAAUGCUUAAGUUUUGCUUAUAUUAAUUUCUUGCUUAUGCUUUUCAUUUCCUUUCCUUGUUUCUUUAUGUUUCUUUCUUUCAUUAUGUUUAACUAAGUUAAUUAUGUCAAGGUGAAAAGGGUACACUAAUGGUGUAAGAAUAAGUAUAAUAUAAACUUAACAUGGACCUUAAUGUUGGAUACUAACAUGCUUUAUAUUUGUUAUCUUGUUCACUUUUAAUACUUUGCUUGUUAAAUGGUUAAUCUAGAUUUAUGUUGUAUAACACCUGGUACAACAAAUACUUGGCACUUUCAUAGCCCAUACUGUAUGGUAUAACCGACACCUGAGCUAUGAAAGGAACUUGAUUUGUUGUUAACAUAAGUUAUAAUCAUGAAUGCCUGACAACAUUUACAAGUAUUAGCAUUAUUCGAAUAAGAUAACUAAUGUAAUCAUGUUAACAAUUUAUAAUCUGAUUGGAACCUCCUUUGUGUGUGGUUUCCAAUUGAAUAAAAAGAGUUUAUACUAUACUUGUUUGAAAUACCAUUAGUGGAUCCUCUAACCUUGACAUUUGUUGUUAUCAUUGUUUAAUCCUUACCUUAAUCUUCCAUCUCAAAGUCCUCAUCAACUUCUUCCUCUUCUUCUUCACUAUUAUUAUUAUUGUUGUUGUUGUUGUUGUUGUAUUAUUGUUAUCUAUAAUUUAUACAAUUAACCUCCCUGUGGUUCGACCCCGGUCUUGCCGGGUUAUUUAUUACUUCGACACUCCUGCACUUGGGAGAAGACAUCAAUCUUUUGGUCGUGUCAAGUUUUUGGCGCCGUUGCCGGGGAGGUAAAUUCUUGUACAAAUUAUAGUAUUUAUUUUAUUUUCUCUUUUUACUUUUCUUGUAUCUAACUUUGUUUAUUUUGUUUUGUUUCUUUUUCUUUUGCUUUCUUCUUUUUAUUCUCUUUUUACACGUGCAUGAGAGUGUGGUCACAUACAUUAAGUGAUAGACUUUGUAUGGUAUCCUCAUCAUUUUCAGAAAAUAUGGCUGAAGAAGAUAACCAAUCACUUCAUAAUGAAAAUAAUGAGAAUAUUCGGGUUAGAACUCUUAGAGACCACAUGAAUCCCACAAGAACAAGUGCACCCUCAUGCAUAGUUUUUCCUCCUGAUGCAUCUCAUUUUAAUUUUAAGACAGGCAUUAUUCAACUUUUACCAUCUUUUCAUGGCUUAGAUUUAGAAAAUCCAUACUUGCAUUUAAGGGAAUUUGAGGAGGUCUGUAACACCUAUAAUGACUCAAAUUGUAGCAUGAACACCAUUAGGUUAAAGCUUUUUCCUUUUUCACUAAAAGAUAAAGCUAAAACAUGGCUACAAAAUUUGAGACCUGGAUCUAUUCGUGCUUGGGAUGAAAUGCAACAACAAUUUUUAAAGAAGUUUUUUCCGUCCCACAGAACAAACUCUUUCAAAAGACAAAUAAUCACUUUCACUCAAAAACCAGGAGAAACAUUUUAUCAAUGUUGGGAUAGGUAUCGAGACUUGCUUAAUACUUGCCCCCAUCAUGGUUUUGAAACAUGGAGAUUAGUUUCACAUUUUUAUGAAGGGUUAACUCCUAGAGAUAGGCAAAUGGUUGAAAUGAUGUGCAAUGGAACUUUUGAGGAUAAAGACCCUAAUGAAGCCAUGGAAUACCUAGACUUGCUAGCUGAAAAUGCACAAAAUUGGGACACUACAGGAACUUAUGAGGCACCAAGUAAAACCCAAUCUCAUACAUCUAGUGGAGGUAUGUACAACCUUAGGGAAGAUCAUGACCUCCAAGCCAAGUUUGCAUCUUUAGCUAGAAAAUUCGAGGCACUUGAAUUAAAAAAGAGUGGUCAACUAAAAUCUGUUCAAGACAUUGCGUGUCAAAUCUGUGAAACCAACGAACAUUCAACCAAUGACUGUCCAACCUUGCCUUCUUUUAAAGAAUGUCUCCAUGAACAAGCCCAUGCAUUAAAUAGUUUUCAAAGGCCCAACCAUAACCCAUACUCGCAAACAUAUAACCCUGGUUGGAGAAAUCACCCAAAUUUCAAUUGGAAGAGUGAUAACAAUAAUGCACAAACUUCACAGCCACCGUUUCAAGCACACCAUAAUUUCCAAAAUUCUCAUGGAUAUGCACCUCCUUAUGCUCCACCUCCUAGAAGAAAUCUUGAGGAAACAUUGCAUGCAUUCAUGGAAAAGCAAGAGACAAUCAACACUCAACUUGCUCAAAGCAUGACAGAUUUUAAAGAUACUCUUGCAAAAUUGACAUCUGCUCUCAGUUUCCAAGAGAAAGGUAAGUUUCCAUCUCAACCACAACAAAAUCCCAAGGGGCAGUACCAUGCAAAUGCAAGUAGUUCGGGAAGCCAACAUAUGGAUCACGUAAAAUCAGUCAUCACUCUUCGCAGUGGUAAGGUUAUUGAAAAACCCAUUCUUGAACCUUGUGAGAAUGAUGAUGAGUCAAUCUCUAAGGGUAAGGAAGGGGUUGAAUCUGAACAUUGCAAAGAAAAGACUGAUUCCCCGCCAGCACUUCCAUUUCCUCAUGCCAUGGCCAAACAAAGGAAAGUCAAUCACAACUCUGAAAUCCUUGAAACUUUCAAACAGGUAAGGAUCAAUAUACCUUUGUUGGAUGCUAUUAAACAGGUUCCUUCUUACGCUAAAUUUUUGAAAGAUCUGUGCACUGUGAAGAGAAAAUUGAAUGUGAAAAAGAAAGCCUUCUUAGCCGAACAAGUAAGUGCUAUUCUUCAAAACAAUAAUGCUUUGAAAUAUAAAGACCCUGGUUGUCCUACAAUUUCUUGCUUUAUUGGAGAACAUAAAAUUGAAAGAGCUUUACUUGAUCUUGGAGCUAGUGUGAAUUUACUUCCAUAUUCAGUUUUUCAAAGUCUCAAUCUAGGUGAGUUAAAACCAACUUCUGUGACUCUUUUACUUGCCGAUAGAUCUGUAAAAGUGCCUAGAGGAAUAAUUGAAGAUGUGUUAGUACAAGUCGAUAAAUUCAUUUACCCUGUGGAUUUUAUUGUCUUGGAUACACAACCUGCUGAAGCAUGUAAUUCAUUUCCUGUUAUUUUAGGACGUCCGUUUCUUGCAACUUCUAAUGCAUUGAUUAAUUGUAGGAAUGGACUAAUGAAGCUAUCUUUUGGAAACAUGACAUUGGAGAUGAAUAUUUUCAACAUUUGCAAACAACCUGGAGAUGAUAAUGAUUUACAAGAAGUAGAUUCUAUUGAAGAAUUAGUUUAUGAUCAACUUGAAUCUACUUUGAGUAAAAUUGAGUUGGAUGAAUUUGAAGAUUUGCAAAUGAUUUAUUCUCAGGAAGAAAUCACGGAUGAAAAAGACACUGAAAAUGUUGAUGCGGAUCAUUUGUCAAGAUUGACAAUAGAUUCGACAUCUGACAUCACACCAAUUGAUGAUUACUUUCCUGAAAAAUCCUUACUUUCUCUUAGUUCAAUGCCUUGGUUUGCUAAAAAUAUCAAUUUUCUUGCUACAGGAGAUUUGCCAACUCACUGGAGUACCGAAGACAAAGGAAAGUUUUUGAACGAAAUGAAGAACUUUUAUCGGGAUGACCCUUACUUAUUCAAAAAUUGUCCUGAUCAAAUAUUUCAAAGAUGCAUUCCCGACAAUGAGGUAAGUAGUGUCAUUAAAUUUUGUCAUUCUGAGGCAUGUGGGACUCAUUUCUCGUCAAAAAAGACGACUGCAAAAAUCUUACAAUGUGGAUUUUAUUGGCCCACCAUGUUCAAAGACACACAUGUGUUCUGCAAAGGUUGUGAAAAUUGUCAAAAGUCAGGAUUUAUUUCAAAACAUAAGGAAUCUUUAGAUAAUCUUCUAUUGACUUUUGAGACAUAUCCUGGUGGAGAUGUGCACCGUGCAUUUCAGGACUUAUGACACAAUUCCAUAAAGAACAUGAUCGACUUAGUCUUGGGAAUCUGACUAUAAAAGACCCUGUUUGCCAGUUUUUAAGAAAACUGGAUGGGAAGCCUAUCCCCGACCCAUAGAGGGCGUUUAAGCCGUUCUUGGACGUAAAACCAAGGGAAGAUGUGAGCCACAAUCACAACUACAAUUUGAGUCUUAGUUUGUAAAAAUUUAUGUUUUCUUUGUUUUAUUAAUAGCAUAUUAUUUUGUUUUGUUAUUUCUUAUGUUUGUUUAAGUGUGUUUCAGGUUUGUCAGUGUUCUUUGUUUCAGGUGAUGUCUUCUAUACUCUAUCUUUCUACCUUAUGACAUUGAGGACAAUGUCUCGUUUUGGUUGGGGGGAGAGGGUAGUAGUUGACAUUUAAAAAAAAAAAAAAAAAAAAAAACCUAACCAACUAACUAUUUUUGUUUUUGAAAUAAUUUGGCAAAACUGUUAUUAUUAGGAUGGCAGAGUAAGGAGGAAUUUUAGUAACUCUUGAGACGCAUCUUAGUAAACAUUUUCCAAUGGUCAUUUGCAAUAUUCAUAACAAGGCCUAUUAGAAUACUUCUUGAAAUAUUCAGGUUUACAAACUCUCGCAUUGUUAUCACUUGAUUCUGCUCAUAUACUCAUUUAACAAGUAUUCUUAAACCUUCAUUUUCACACACACACUUUAACAUAUGAUUGUGGGUUGCACAUUGGAUUAUUACAUUAUUUAUGUUCUUUUGUUAAAGGUAACAACUAAGGGAUAGGGAUAGUCUAUAAUUUAAAUAAAUAAAAAAAAAACAACAACAAAAAUUGAUGAUAAUAAAAGCGUAGAUAAGUUUGGUUUCGUAGCCUCCCUAACCUAAGCAAUUAAGCCCGAAGGGGUGUUUUAACACCUAAUACCCUAAAGUCAACUGACUUGGGAGCUAUUGGCCCAAAGCUUGUUACAUGGGUUAAGGAGAAAAGCUUAAGGGAAUCAAACAUUGCACUAUCUACGUAUCAGUAUCUGCAACCCGAGUUACUAAGCUCGUAGGGGUGUCUCAACACCUAAUGCCCUAAGACCAACUGGUCUGGGAGUCAUUAGCCGAAAGCUCGUUACAUGGGUUAAAGAUGCAUUGUGUUUUAAGUAUAUGUAUAUAUUCAUUGAAAAAAAAAAUACCAAAAAAAAAAAAAAGAAGAUAAUAAUCCCAACCCAAGGAAGUUAACCUUAAACAUUAGAACAGAAUAUUGUUUUCUUCCAAUAAAAGCCCCAUCAUCUAUGUUUUCAUACAUUGAGCACAUAAAAAGGAAGGUUUAAUAAUAUUUUGUUUAAGAGGUAUUGAGCAGAUAUAUAAAAUUUAAUGAGAGUUUGUUUAUCUGAAUAGAUUAAUGGAAGUUGAAUGAUGAAUGCCUUGCUUUGUGAAAUUUGCAAAUAGUUUUUCUAUUUUAACGCUUUGAUUACUAGGGACUAGUAAUAAGCUGGUUGGGGGGUGUGAUUAGUACUUAAAAGUGCAUUUUUAUCAAGGUUUUAUAUCAUUAUUUUGCACUUGAAGUAUCAAUAACUCCUUAACUAAAGCAUGUUUUAUAAUAACGUAUCUAAUAAUAUAAGAUACCUUUAAUUUAUGGUAAAUGUUCAUCUUAAAUGCAGGCCUAUCACAUAAAUGAAAGAAUUGAUUGAUGAGUUGAAGUACUGAAAUUGAAAGGACAAAGAGAUGGCCAAACUUAGAAAAGAGAUGUUGGUGCAGUCCAAACUGGAACAUUGUUCGGUAAUCGGGCUAUAUCUGGAGCUGUAGAUCUCGGAUUGAGGUCUACUUUAUAUGGAUGGAAAGGUAAGACAUAGUCCUACAACUUUCAUGCGGAGCCCAAGAUUUAAUAAGGCCGUUUUCGAGUCCAAAUUGUAGCAACAAUGAAGAAGCCCGAAUCUGUCCUGCAACCCAGACACUGUUCAGUGUUCAGCCCAUAUCUCGAGUUCUAGAAGUCCAAAUGAUCUCAAAUUUUUAUCCUGGAAAGAUGAGACAAUUCCCUAGAACUUUCAUGAUUUAAGUUUGUUCAAAUUAUGACGUCAUCAAUGACGUUUUUGGCAGACAAGAAGAUAAGAAUUGUCACCAAGUCAAGAUGUGGCCACCCACUCAUCAAUUUGUCAACAAAUCAAUAGUUCCGAAUUUUGGCCUAUAAAAGGAGGCAUUUGCCAUGUAUUUAGGCAUCUUGGUUUACAGAUCAAGAUCAUGCUUUUGCUCUCUCUUUAUAUUUUGUAAUGCUUAAGUUUUGCUUAUAUUAAUUUCUUGCUUAUGCUUUUCAUUUCCUUUCCUUGUUUCUUUAUGUUUCUUUCUUUCAUUAUGUUUAACUAAGUUAAUUAUGUCAAGGUGAAAAGGGUACACUAAUGGUGUAAGAAUAAGUAUAAUAUAAACUUAACAUGGACCUUAAUGUUGGAUACUAACAUGCUUUAUAUUUGUUAUCUUGUUCACUUUUAAUACUUUGCUUGUUAAAUGGUUAAUCUAGAUUUAUGUUGUAUAACACCUGGUACAACAAAUACUUGGCACUUUCAUAGCCCAUACUGUAUGGUAUAACCGACACCUGAGCUAUGAAAGGAACUUGAUUUGUUGUUAACAUAAGUUAUAAUCAUGAAUGCCUGACAACAUUUACAAGUAUUAGCAUUAUUCGAAUAAGAUAACUAAUGUAAUCAUGUUAACAAUUUAUAAUCUGAUUGGAACCUCCUUUGUGUGUGGUUUCCAAUUGAAUAAAAAGAGUUUAUACUAUACUUGUUUGAAAUACCAUUAGUGGAUCCUCUAACCUUGACAUUUGUUGUUAUCAUUGUUUAAUCCUUACCUUAAUCUUCCAUCUCAAAGUCCUCAUCAACUUCUUCCUCUUCUUCUUCACUAUUAUUAUUAUUGUUGUUGUUGUUGUUGUUGUAUUAUUGUUAUCUAUAAUUUAUACAAUUAACCUCCCUGUGGUUCGACCCCGGUCUUGCCGGGUUAUUUAUUACUUCGACACUCCUGCACUUGGGAGAAGACAUCAAUCUUUUGGUCGUGUCAACCACAAACCCUUGUGUCCCCGAUGGAAGGGCCAGCACAGGAGCAGAAGUGAGCCUCUCCUUUAGUUCUCGAAAGCUCGCUUCACACUCUUCCGACCAAACAAACCUGACUUCCUUGCGGGUCAGCUUAGAGUGUGAUGCUAGGGUGGAGAACCCCUCAAUAAAUCUCCGGUAAUAUCCAACAAAACCCAAGAAACUCUGGAUUUCUGUCACAUUAGUAGGCCUUUCCCAUUUUAACACGGCCUCAACCUUUCUUGGAUCCACAAAUAUUCCUUCUGCGGAUAUUACAUGGCCCAAAAAUACUACUUCCUUGAGCCAAAACUCACACUUAUCCAGAUUUGCAUAUAAUUGAUUCUCCUUUAAAGUCUGUAGCACAACCCUUAGAUGUUGUUCAUGCUCCAAGUGAGAGUUUGAAUACACCAAGAUAUCUUCAAUAAAUACAACCAUAUAUUGGUUCAGGUAAGGCCGAAACACCUGAUUCAUCAAGUCCAUAAACAUGGCCAGAGCAUUGGUUAACCCGAAAGGCAUCACCAAAAACUCGUAAUGCCCAUAACGGGUUCGGAAUGCAGUCUUUUGUAUGUCUUAUUCCUUAAUUCUCAACUAGUGGUAUCCAGAUCUCAAAUCUAUCUUAAAGAAAACCUUAGCACCCUUCAACUGAUCAAACAAGUCAUCUAUUCGUGGGAGUGGGUACCUGUUCUUCACCGUCACUUUAUUCAAUUGACGAUAAUCAAUGUACAAAUGAAGGGUGCCAUCCUUCUUCUUUACAAACAAUACUGGAGCUCCCCAAGGCAAGUUACUAGGCCAGAUGAAGCCUUUAUCUAACAAUUCCUGAAGCUGGACCUUCAGUUCCGCCAAUUCCAUAGGUGUCAUCCUAUAAGGAGAUUGGGUUAUAGGAGAAACUCUUGGAAUAGUUUCUAUGGAAACUUCAAUUUCUCUAACUGGAGGUAAUCCAGGCAACUUUUCUAGGAAUACAUCUCGAAACUCCCUCACAACAGGAAUACUAGCCAAAUCUAUGCUACCCUUUUUCAACUCUUUUACAUGGGCUAACCAAGCAGAACAACCCUUCCUUAGUAAUUUUCUAGCCACCAAACUGAGAUUGCACAACUUGGAAUUACUUUUCUUUCCCCUUUAAACACUACUCUCUUAUCACAUAUUCCUUGGAUUGUCAUCGUCUUGGUGAAACAAUCCACUUGUGCCUUAUGUUUACUUAGUCAAUCCAUGCCCAGAAUCAAGUCAAAAUCAUAUAGCUCUAACGGUAUAAGAUAUACCCUCAACUCUAACCCUCUAAUAUAUAGUUUUACCCCUCUAUAAAUAUCAUCAAUAUGUAUAUUCUCUCCUAGAAGUGUACUAAUUGUCACUCCUACACCCAAGUUACUAGAUAACACAUGCAAGUUAUUCACAAUUCUAUAAGAUACAAAGGAAUGACUAGCUCCAGGAUCAAUUAAAGCAUAAACUUGCAUUGUAUCUAACUGUAAAGUACCUGCCACCACAUCAGGUACAGCUCCCAUAUACUCGAAGGUCAUGUGAUAUACCCGACCCUGAGUCCUCCCCUUCUGAUUUCUGGGCCUCCCACGAGUAGCACUCGUCCCUGACUGGGUAAGCCUGAUAGGACGAUCGACUGUCACUGAUUGUUGCUGGCUUUGAACCUCAAUCCUCUGACCAUGGGCUCCCUCAGUAGUUCUACGAGGACAAUCCUUCUUCCUGUGACUCGUGUCCCCAUAAUAGUAACAGCCUCUGCCUACAUGCGAGCACUCUCUUCAUCGAUGCCCCUCUCCUUUACAAAUAUAACAUCUCCCUGGCAUCACAGAGCAAUCUCUAGGGUGUCGCUGCUCACACCUCUGACAAAAUGGAUAUACUAGUCCCUCUGCUCUGUAGACCCUCCAGCAGUUUUGACUCCUUGUCUAGCCUGUCCUCCCUAAGCUCCUCUUCCACUGACCUGUCUAGAUCUUCCUAAGCUCCCUCCUGAGGUUAAACUCCCACCUCUUCUCUAGAACUGUCCUGAUGAUUGCUCGCUCUUCCCUUUCUUUGGGAGAGGAGGUCUCCCACUCAAAAACUCAAAAUCUCUCCUCUUAGCUCCAAUUGCCUGACUCUGCUCGACCACUGGCUUCGGGGUAUUGACACGACCAAAUAGUUGAUGUCUUCUUCCAAGUGUAGGAGUGUCGAAGUAAUAAAUAACCCGACAAGAUCAAGGUCGAACCACAGGGAGGUUAACUGUAUAAAUUACAAAUAAAGAAAUAGAUAAUAAUAGAAAAUGAGUUGAAGAGAGCUUUGAGAUGUGAUAUUGAUGUGAGGAUUAAACAAGGAUAAAAUAAUUAUCAAGGUUAGAGGAUCCACUAAUGGUAUUUCAAACAAGUAUAGUAUAAACUCUUUUUAUUACUCAACUGGAAACCACACACAAAGGAGAUUCCAAUCGGAUUAUAAAUUGUUAACAUGAUUACAUUAGUUAUCUUAUUCGAAAAAUGCUAAUACUUAUAAAUGUUGUCAGGUAUUCAUGAUUAUAACUUAUGUUAACAACAAAUCAAGUUCCUUUCAUAGCACAGGUGUCGGUUAUACCAUACGGUUGGGCUAUGAAAGUGCCAAGUAUUUGUUGUACCAAGGGUUAUACAACAUAAAUCUAGAUUAACCAUUUAACAAGCAAAGUAUUAAAAGUGAACAAGAUAACAAAUACAAAACAUGUUAGUAUCAAACAUUAAAGUCCAUGUUGAGUUUAUAUUAUACUUAUUCUUACACCAUUAGUGUACCCUUUUCACCUUGACAUGAUAAACUUAGCUAAACAUAAUAAAGAAGAGAAACAUAAAUAAAUAAGAGGAGAACUUGAUUAUAUAAGUAUAGUAAAGGAAAUGAAAGGUAUAAACAAGAUAUUAAUGAAAGCAAAACUUAAGCAUUACAAAAAUAUAAAGAAAGAGAGCAAGAACAUGAUCUUGAUCUGAAAAUCAAGAUGCCUCAAUGCAUGGCAAAUGCCUACUUUUAUAGGCCAAAAUUUGGAACUAUUGAUUUGAUGACUACUUGUUGAGUGGGUGGCCACAUCUUGACUUGGUGACAAUCCUUAUCUUCUUGUCUGAACAAAAUGUCAUUCCUAACGUCAGAAUUUGAACAGAUUGUCUUCAUGAAAGUUCUAGAAAAUUAUCUUAGAUUUCCAAUCAAAAAAGAAUCGGUGCAUUUGGACUUCUAGAACUUGAGAUAUGGGUUGAACACUGAACAGUGUUUGGGCUGCAGAACAGAUUCCGACUUCUCCAUUGUUGCUACAAUUUGAACUUGAAAACGGCCUUUUUGAAUCUUGGACUCCUCAUGAAAGUUUUAGGCCUAGGUCUUAGGUUUCUAUUCAUAUAAACCAAACUAAAAUCCAAGAUCUACAGCUCUAGAUAUGACCCAAUGACUGAACAGUGUUCCAGUUUGGACUAAACCAGCAUCUCUUUUCUAAGCUUAGCCCUCUCUUUGUCUUCUCAAUUUCAGUAGUUAAACUCAUCAAUAAAUCCUUUCAUUUAUGUGAUAGGCCUACAUUUAAGAUAAACAUUUGCCAUAAAUUAAAGGUAUCUUAUAGUAUCAGACUUGUUAUUAUAAAACAUGCUUUAGUUAAGGAGUUAUUGAUACUUCAAGUGCAAAAUGAUGAUAUAAGACCUUGAUAAAAAUGCACUUUUAAGUACUAAUCAGGUAUCCCUUAUUACCCUCUCCAUACCCUGAGCAGCCCGUACCAAUUCCCGCACAGACUGAAACUGUAUGGCUAUCAAUAUCAUCCUCAAUUCCUGCCUCAGUCCAUCACGAAACCUCUCCACCCUGUAGCACUCUGUGGGAUGGUAAGUGGAGGCAAAAGCUGUUAAAUCCUGAAAUCUCCUCUCAUACUCCAGAACUGUCAAAUCUCCCUGCCUCAAAUCCAAAAACUAUUGUUCUUUCUCCCUCCUAUGCUCCCAAGAAUAGUACCUCUCCUCAAACUCUUCAAGAAAGUCCCUUCAUCUCAAUACCUCCCUUGAUCUCCUCUCUCUAAUGGUCUCCCACCAAGAGUGGGCACUUUCAACCAAUAGCUGAGUCACGCAAUCCACCCAUAGCUCCUCUAGCACCUGCAUCUGAUUUAUAACUCUUUCCGCUUUCCUCAGCCAAUUCCCAGCAACCUCAGCAUCCUCUUCGCCAUGGUAAGUCAUACAACCCAUCUCUUUCAUACCCUUCACCCAUUGCACUAUGGUGACUACUCCCCCUGAUCUAAGAGUUGUACUGGAGGCUCCCGCUACCAUUCCUAUUGCUACAGCUCUCACUAUAUAUUCCAUAAAAGCAGGAUCCAAAAAUGGGUUUGAUCCAGCUACCGAUGCCACUGGUGGGGGCAUAUUAUCUCCCCCCUGUCUAUCUGAUACCUCGGGCAUUGAUACAUCUAUCUGACGGGACAACGAAUCAUCUCGAAGUCUCACUGACUCGCCCCUUUCCGAGUACACUGAUGUUGCAGGUAUAUGAGAGGAGGUGUCUGCCAGGGGAUCCCAGUAUGGAUCACUUUCAUUACGAAAACUCUGAUCACUUCCCCGAACUGGGGAUGGAUCAGUCCUGGCUCCUUGCCUUGUUCUCACCAUCUUGAAACACAUUUCAAAAUCAUAUAAUGAUUCCUAUCCCCGGAAUAGCAACUGAGCUCUGAUACCAAAAAUGUAACAUCCCCCGUUCCGGGAUAAAAACAACAAUCUCAUGUCAACCGAAAAAAAGAGCAAUUAAUUUUUUUUUCUAUAUAUAUGCAUGGUCUUCGUAUUAAAAACUACCGAAAUUUCGACGGAGUCUCCCCUACACCGAAAGGCCCCAAGUUAUCGAUAUGUAACCUGUUUACACUUCUAAUAACUCGCAUCUCCUAACUCAAACCCGACCCAAUCAUCCUGGGUUUCAAGCCCACAAAUAUUAUCACACCUAUCAACCACAAUAUUUAUAAUAUACAUUAUAUAACAAAAUAUCAUUAUGGAUGGAUAAAGAUAUAAAUACACAUACAUGAAAUAUGGUUAUAUGAACUACAUAGUUAAGUUCAUUUAAUCAAGUUUAAACAUUAAUUAUACAAAUUAAGUUAUACAAACAUUUUCAAGUUUACAAAAUACAAGGGUAUACUCCCUAGAACCUAGAUUACAAGAAGGGAACAUAAGCUAGGAUUUACUCUUGUCGUGCAUCCGAUGGUCCUGAAACAAAAUACAUAUUAUUGAAACAUGAAUAUCACAAUCAAUAUAACAACACGAAUAUCUAACAAUUUAAAAAGGGUAACAUGCAUUCAUAUUUUGUUCACUCCUCCCUUCUAGUUUUCAUUAGAAUCUCUUCCUUGUUCAACUAUUAAUAACCGUUCCCUCUCCCAUUAUCAACCUCCGAUGCAGAUUUUAUAAGAUCAAUCAUGAUUAUUUCUGCUUAACGCAUUACCGAUACCAAUUUCACUAGUAUCAUCAUCAUCACCCCGUAGGAGUCGAUGCAAGAUGAUCCCUUUACACUAAAUGUAUGAUAGCCAAUACAUGGUGAUCCCCUUACCCGGGAUCCUAUCAUACACUAAAUGUAUGCUAGCCAGUACAUGUUUGAUCCCCUUAUCCGGGAUCCUAACAUACGCUAAAUGAAUGCUAGUCCAAACAUGGCGAUCCCCUUACCCGAGAUCCUAACAUACACUAAAUGUAUGCUAGUUCACGCCCCAAAUCACAUUUCUCAUAUUUCCUUUGUCAACGAUAAUUUCAUCACUUGGCAAUUCAUACAGCAACCUUUCACCUUGAAUACACAUAUAUUCAGUAAUUCACAUUUCACAUCGGUAAUAUAUUCAAUCAUGGAAUUUAACUAGAAAGUAUAAGUGCGAUUCACCUACCUGCAAUAGAAUCUCUACUUGUGCUCCCCUGCUGCUACUGUUGCACCAUGCUUGUGGUCCCUCCUGCAAAUCACAAGUUUAUCUCAUAAAUUUUCCUCAAUCCCUUCUUUUCUUUCUAAUGACAAUCGACACUCCCUUCUUCUCUUCUUGUUCAAAUUUUCUUGUUAAUUCCUUGCCCACCAGUGUUUAUUCUACCUAUAACCCUUAAUCUUGGAUGGGUUCUUGAAAUUUUGGUGUUUCUCUCUUGAUUUGUAAAAAUGGAUACAAAAACUCCUUCUUUUCUUUCUUUGCGAUAGUUGCAGAUUUUUGGUGAGAAUAGGAGUAUUUAUGCUCUAUAAUUAUUCUUAUUUGCAUUUAGGCCUCAUUUUCUUUAAGCGUAUUCUUUUUGCCCCGACAUCUUUUUAGUUUAGUUUAUUUUCUUUAAUUUAAUCCAGCCUUGAUUUUCCCCGGGAUUUACAGUACAGGUGGAGGAGGGUCAACUUGUGGACAGUCAAAUGUUAAGGGUAAUUAUGUUGGAGGAGUUUCAGAGUAUAACACCAUUACUUAUCCUCUCUAUGUCAAAUGUGAGCAACGACAUCCUGGAGAUUGCUCUGCAUCAUUAAAGCGAUGCUACAUUUAUAGGCAAGAUGGGUAUAGAUGGCGGGACUACCCCUAUUUAGGUCAGGUAUGGUACUAUUACAGUGAGUAGGGACACUUUAAGAAGGACUCUCUUAGGAGAACUGAGUAUGUUUAGGGAAAGAGAUAGCAAACACAAAAUUAUCAGCAGUCAAUCAUUGUGGAUAGACCUACCAGACUAAUGCAAUCUGGGACUAGUGGAAAUCGAGGUUGACCUCGAGGACAAGGGGAGAGGACCCAGAGCAUACUGUUUCACAUGACCUAGGAGGAUGUAUGGGCUUCCAUAGAUGUAGUAGCAUAUACUUUAUUAUUAGAAAAUCAGUAUGUGCAUGUUUUGAUAGAUCCAUGUGCUACAUAUUCUUUUUAUGGCAAGAAAAAUUGAAAAUAAACUAAAAAAGCAACUAAGUUAGAAAAGGGAUUUUUGAUUAGCACACCAUUAAGGGAUGCAGUGUAUGUAGAACAUUUCUGUAAAGAAGUUAAAAUUUCUAUUGAGAGAUAUUAUAUGGAAGUAAAUGUGAUGUCGAUUGAAUUACAUGAUUUUGACUUAAUACUAGGAAUGGAUUGGUUAAGUAACCAUAAAGCACAAAUAUAUUGCUUUUCAAAAACAAUGACUCUACAGGGAUCAGAUGGGAAAAUCAUAACUUUUAGGGGUGAGAGAAAUGUCAUGCCAAAUUGUGUGAUUUCAGUCAUGACAGUUAGUAAGCUUAUGAGAAAACGGUGUAUGGCUUAUUUAGCUUACAUAAUAGAUUCUGAAAAAAAAAAUGAGGUAGAGUUUAAUAAUAUUCCCAUCAUGAGAGAGUUUUCGGAUGUGUUUCCAGAAUAAUUGUCAGGGCUACACUUGGAAAGGGAAGUGGAAGUCUCAAUUGAUAUAUUGUUAGGUAUCUCUCCUACAGCUUGGGCACCAGCAGAAUUGGUUGAGUUGAAAGUUCAAUUGCAAAAAUUACUACAAAGAGGGUUCAUACACCCGAGUAGUUUACCUUGGGGAGCUCUAGUCCUAUUUUUUUAUUUUUUAUUUUAAAAAAAAAAAGAUGGGACAUUUAGGCUCUGCAUGGACUAUAGAUAGUUGAAUAGGGUAACAAUGAAGAAAAAGUAUCCACUUCCAUAGAUAGAUGACUUGUUUAACCAGUUAAAAGGGCCAGGGUGUUCUCAAAAAUAGAUCUAAGAUCGGGGUACUACCAGUUAAGGAUCAUGGAGUAGGAUGUACCAAAAACUGCCUUUAAGACUCGUUAUGGUCAUUAUGAGUUCCUGGUAAUGUCCUUUAGAUUGACAAAUGCACCAACAGUGUUUAUGGACUUGAUAAAUUGGGUCUUCUAACCUUACUUGAAUAAGUUUAUGGAGGUGUUUAUAGAUGGAAUUUUAGUCUAUUCUAGCUCCUAUCUAAAGCAUGAACAACACUUGAGACAGGUGUUGCAGACCUUUAGAGAUCACUAGUUGUAUGUCAAAUUUAGUAAAUGUGAAUUUUGGAUGAAAGAGGUGGUUUUUCUAGGGCAUGUUAUAUUUGCAAAAGGAAUAUUUGUAAACCCAGUGAAGGUUAAAGCGUACCUGAAAUGGAAAAAGCCUACAAAUGUAAUAAAAAUAUGUAGUUUCCUAGGAUUUGUAGGGUAUUAAAUUUUAUUAAGGGUUUUUUUUACUAUAGUCAAUUCCAUUGACUUGGUUGAUUAGAAAAGAGACAAAAUACGAGUGGUCAAGGGAGUGUAAAGAAAGUUUUCAGGAAUUGGGCCUAACGGUUCAUUGUUGGCUCAAUUAAGAGUAUGGUCUGUGUUACGGGACAAAGUUUUGGAGGUGCAACAAAGACACACUAAAGUGACAAAAAGUGAGAGAUAGGGGUGAUGAUUUUCGGUUCGGUUCGGUUCGGUUUUUACCUAUAAAAAACAACCAAACUAGUUUUUUUAAAAAAAAACCAAAACCGAACUGAAACCAGGUCAAACCAACCGGUUUCGGUCCGGUUCUAUUCUUAAUUUAAAAAAACUGAGAGACCCUAUAUGCUUUUUUUUUUCCUUCCUAAUAUUUUUUUUUCUGUUUUAUUUUAGUGCACAUGACUCCUGCUAAGUGACCAUCUCCCUUAAACCCAUCGAGAGCCGCCUCUUUUGCAUAAUAAUGAACUGGAAAAGCAAGUUGCUGAUUCAAAAUGGCUUGACUCCAUGCAACUACAUAAACCCAAAAAUCACAAAAUCAUUAUUAAUGAAUACAAAAUCCCAGUAAUCGAACGAAGAACCCCCACACCUCUCUUUAUAAAAAUUGAUAACAAUUCCAAAAUUAUAUCCCUAAAGAAACCCACAUGAUAUUUGGAAUUUCCCAUAAAAAUAAUCCCAACCAACAUAUAAUUCCAUUUUCAUCAGAAAAAUAAUUAUAGGAAAAGAAAAGGCAUCACAUUGACCCAAAGAAAUCCCUAAUAUUUCUUCCUGUCCAUUAAAGCAAAAAAAUAAUGCAAAAAAAUCAAAGUAAAUGGAUUCAGAAUUUGAUUAACUUUGUUCGAUAACAUGUCGGACAUCAAAAAGGAAUCAAAAUCCAGCGUCAAGAAAAGAAUGGAUGAUUGGAAAGGAGGUAAAUGAUCUGGAAUAGAGAGAAGAAAAGCAAAACCUGUUUGGAUCUGGAUAAGAGGCGAUAACUGAAAGCCAUGAUUUCUUCUUCUUCUUCUUAUUCUUCUUCUUCCUUCUUUUUUUUCAAAUUGAAGGAGUAGGGUUGUUUGGAUCUUUGUUUUUUUAUGACCGCUGAAAUCCGACCUGAGCGGGCCUAUUUCUCUGUGUUUCUAAGUGAUGAUGGAAACACAAACUGUUUUGGAUCUUUGUGUUUCUAGUUUCUAAGUCUAAGGAGAGGGAGAAGUGGAGAGGAGAGAGGAGGCGGGUGCUCUGGUAGUGGUAGCUAGGGUUAGCAAAUCUUCAUUUUCUAUUUAUAGUACCUUUUUUUUUAACCGGUUCAGUUCGGGUUAAUCGAUUUCUAAAUUACAAAACCAAAACCAAACCGGGUUUUUUUUUCUAAAUAUUCUAAUCGGUUUUUUCUCUCAGUUCGAUUUUUUUGGUUAAUUUUUUUUUGGUUUUCACGGUUUAAUCGGUUUAUCGGUUUUUUUUAUCACCCCUAUAAGGUGAAACUAGGGGUUGAGACACCCUUCUGAGUCUUGGAUGGAUGAUAGGAUGGUAAUGAUAAGUAGAUGAAUAUAUAUGCGUAACGAUAAAGAUUUGAAAGAGAAGGUUCCAGGAGAAGCCCAUUAAUCAAAAAUUUUGGUACAUCCAAGUAGUACUAAAAUGUAAAAGGACCUAAAGGAAUUCUAUUGUUGGCCCAGCAAAGUUGGCAACUUUCGAGACUUUGCUGAAGCAACUCUGAUGUAAAUAUCAUUGGAGAUUGCCUGAACAUGGUAGAGGAGAUACACACCUUUUGUUUGGACUCAUUUUUGCUCAAUUUAGAGGUCUGUAGCUUUACAUUCAUUAGUUUAAAGGUGCCUAUUUGAUCAGCCCAGAAUUUGAAAAUGCAAGAAAAGCUAAUCGGGGAUAAGAUGUUGGAACUUUUAUGCAAGCAUUGGGGUGUAAACGUUCAAUUUCAUGGGCACAGGAUUAUAAAGGGGAUGUUUCUCAGUUGAAUAGUGGUGGUUACUUGUUACCCAUUUUUAGGUCCCCGCACAAAAAGGAGAAAAUACAAAUAGAGAAUAUAUAUACAUAUAUAUAUAUAUGGCCAAAUUUUGGUUAAGGAGGUUCAAAUACAAAGAUUGAAAUUUGACAGUAUAUCGUUGACUAAUGAGAACCCUGUUAACAAGGAAAAUUCAAUUCGAGGAAGAAAAGUCCAAAAUCAGAUGUUUAUGAACUCAAUUAAAUUUUAUUGAAGGUUUAAUUGAAUUCAUAGAGGGUUGGAUUGCAAGAAAAAAUGUUUUUUAAGUCAAUUUAGGCUUUAAUUGGAGGAAAUUAAAGUUUUUGGGUCAAAUUACAAUUUUUAAGAGAUGAUUUGGUCAAAUCAAGGAUUUAAUUACAUAAAUAUUGAAGUUUAAAGGCCAAUUAGGGACUUGAUUGAUGAAAUCCAAAACUAAGAACCAAACUGGAAAAGAUGUGUAAAUAGAGGAACUGAAAUUGAUCGAAUAAAGGGCCAAAUUGAAGAAAUUUGAAGUUUAUUGAUCAAUGGAGGGUCAAAUUACAUAAAUUCAAAACUAGGGAUCAAAGGGAAAAAGGCGUUGAAAUCUGGAGUUUGAGUUGAAGUUUGUUAGGGGUGAAAUUGAACAAAAUUGAAAGUUUUAUGCCAAUCAGGGGUGUAAUUAGAAAGAAAUCACAAAUCAAAGGACUAAAGUGUAAGUGUCCAAAACGGCGCCAUUUUGAAGAUGACUAUUGACCUUCUUCUUCAAAGAGGUCGCCCGAGGGGCCUCCUUCCUAAGGCGUUUGACGCCUCAUUUCUCCCCCAAAUUAUAUGAAGCUUGCACGCAAACAAUCACCUGACCCCUGAUUACACGCCAGUGUAAACCAUUCGACUUGAUCGAGGCUGCAGUAGCGGUGGCAUUGCCCUAAAGUGGCCAACCCGAUCAACCAUGUUUCUACACAAAACUGAUAGUUCAUCAUUGUUACUUUGAACCGAUGGCUGUGAUGUUUUAGGGUCGAACCAAAGGUCAAGAUUUGACACCAGAAGAGACAAAGUGUCCCUCUUUCGCCCCUUAUAAAUAGAUUUGAUUUUCAUGGUCGGAGGAGAGAGAGAAAAAAAGGAAAAAGAAAAGGAGAAUUUUCUUUAGAAAGAGGACGAUUUGAAAAGGAGAGGAAAAACAGAGAAGUGUUAAGAGAUAGAAAACUUGGAGAGAAAGUUUGAAGGAAUGAAAAACAGGGGAGAUUAGAAAAAACAAAAAGGUUUUAGAGAGAGACGAGAGACCAAAAAGAGAGAGAGCUACGGAGAGAGAAAAACAUAUAGAAAAGAACAUAAUGAAAGGAAUAAUAGAAAAAACAAAAAAGAAAGAAAAGUAAAACAGAGAAAGAACGAAAGAAGAAGAGGAAACAGAGGAAGAACAACCUGCAGCGACAAUCAUUCUUCCUCUCUGUUCGAAGUCACCGCCACUCCACAACCAGCAGCACCGCUAACGAUAGUAGCGCCACCGUUAGGUCAACCCCUCUCCACCUUCGUUUUUGUUUUCUUCUUCGACCCCAACCCCCUACCGUCCCUUUUUAUUCAUCGUUUGCGGCGACGCGCUGCAUGCAGCAUGACAACUCGUUCUGCAUGCAGCACAAAUAAUUAGCUUUUGUUUUGGGCCAUGUCUAGGCCCAAUUUAGUUGGGUCGAGUAUCGGCCCAGCCCCUGUUUUUGGUCAAGUAUCGGCCCAGUUUAUGUGGUUCGAGUAUCGGCCCAGCUCCUGUUUUGGGCCGAGUCUCGGCCCAUUGUGUUUGGGUCAAGUCUCAGCCCUGUGUCUGCUUUAGGCCGUGUCUCGGCCCAGUUUAAUUGGGUCGAGUAUCGGCCUAGCUCCUGCUUUGGGCCGAGUCUCUGCCCAACGUUUGUUUGGGGAUUGGUCGGGACCCACUUUUUCAGUGGGUCCGGGCCAGCCCAACUUGCGUUUAGGCGUGUCGGGACCCAAUUCCUUUUAGGUCAGGACGCAACCCAACUUCAUUUGGGGGCCGGUCAAGACCCAGUCUCUCAUGGGUCUAGACUCGGCCCAUCUCCUCUUUGGCCCAGUCUCUGCCCUGAACUUGGGCUCAGGCAAGAUGGACUCAGCCCACAGGAUUGGGCUGAGCUUAAACCCAGUAAAUUGUUAUAUAAUAUUACAUUAUAUAAUUUUAUUAUCAAAAAAUUCAAAAAAAAAAAUCCUUCAAAAAAUUUGUGAUUUUUCUGCGUAUUUUUUAUUAAUAUCGGUUUGUGUUUUUAUACUGUAAAGAUACAAAUCUGGUAUUAAAAUAGUCGGUUUUCUCUGAAAUAUUGCAAAACGUUUAAAACAAAAAAAUGUGUUUUUAUUUUCAUGCAUUACGGUCAAGUUUCUCAAAACUUAUAAAAAACUUUAAUACAACAAAAUUUCAAAAAAUAUGUGUUAGCAUGCAUUUUGUCUUUAAUAACCAGUUUAUUAAAGUCAUUAGAACUAAGUCAAUAUUUCACAUGAUAUUUAAUCUAUACUCGUAUUUCAUCUUAUAAGUGUAUUUAGUUCGUGCCAUUAUUUCAUUUCAUAAUAACCUUAAUUUAUACCACAUCUCAUCCUCUCAAUUACAAUUUUAUGUUCUUGAGCUUCCUUAAGCAUUUAUUUCAUUUUAACCAACUAAUUAUGUUUGUUCAUCUCAACAUCCAUUAUAUCAUUAUUGACUCAUUUCAAUUUUGAUUCCAACAUGUAUUACAUUCAUUAUUACCUAUCAAUACAAAUUUAAAAUUACUUAUUCAUACAAAUAUGCAUCUAAUAUGUUUCUAACUUAUACAUAUAUUUCUUCAAUUCUCACGUACAUUAAGCCUAUUUGGCUCUUCUAAUAUAUUUCUCAUCUUGACUAUUUAUUAGGAUAUUUUAAUGUUUCUUUUCAACUUAAAUAUUUUUCAAGUUCAUUUAUGUCACAUUAUAAUAUUUUUUUCAAACUAAUUUAUGAUGAUUACAGUAAAAUUAAUUAGUUUUUAAUGUUUAAACUAAUAAUUUUGUUUAGAGUUUUUUCAUAGCAAAAAACAUAGCAUUUAUAUUGCAAGAAUCUUCUCAUAAACACAACUCGUAGUGUGGUACAAUUCGCUAUUUAGUUAUAUACUUUAACAUAAAAAUAAUAUUUAAGCACUUCUAACGUGUUUUUUUUUUUUAUAAAACAAAUUAUAAUUCUAAACUCAAAAUAUGAUGCAUAUUUAACUAUAUCUUUUUAAAAUAUUGAUACUUUGACAUAUUAGAUGAUAUUUUUAAAAAAUAUUGAGACGAUGACAUAUUUAAUCAAUUAACGUUAACCUGUCAAAUCUACAAACUAAGUAAUAAGAUUGUGAUAACCCUAAUGAAAGCAUAUCAAAAUAAAUUAUGAAAAUCAAUUAUUAAUCAGCCCAAUAUUGAAAGAUAAAAUUAAAAAAAAACAGAACAAAAAUCUUAUCCGAGUCAACCCGGGUUAACAUGUCAAAUGCACGACUCGGGUCAUGAGAUCGGGAUAACUCCAUAGAAAAAAAAUCAAAAGAAAAAUUACAAACUCCAAUUUUCAACCAACUCAAUAUUGAAGGAUUAAAUUGAAAAAAAAUGAUAAAAAAAAUAAUUUAAGCCAACCUGGGCCAACCUGUUAAAAUGAAGGUCAUAAGAUUGAGAUAACUUUAUUAAAAAAAAAUUAUGAAGCUACAUUUGCUAAUAGAUCCAAUGUUGAAAGUUAAAAUCGAGAAAAAAAAAACUAAAUCCAUGAGACCUAUAUAACUCCAAAAAAAGAAAAUUAAAAAAAAUAUAUUAUGAAAAUCAAUUCUCAAACAACCUUUUAUUGAAUGAUGAAUUUUUUUUAAAAAAAAUUGGGUUGUUAGAUGGUGAAAUUGAAAAAAAAAACCAAUAAAAAAUUACCUCAAAAAAAGAAUCGAGUCAACCCGAAUCAACCUGCCAAACUCGCGAUCUAAUUCAUAAUACCAAGAUAACCUUGUAUAAAAAAAAUAUAAAAAAAUAUGAAGCCUAAUUAAACAAAAUAUUCAUUAAAAAACAGACAAAAAAAAAUAUAAAACCCCACUUCUAACAAAUCUAACAUUGAAAGUUGAAAUCAAAAAAAAAAAAAAUUAAAGACAUGAAACUGGUAUAUAACCAAACAAAAGAAUAAAAUAAAAAUUUAAAGCACAAUUUUCAAACAUAGCCUAAUAUUUAAAUAUAAAAUUGAAGAAAUUAAGAAAGAAAACACAAAACACCAUUCACAUUGUUUUGUUAAUUAAUUGUUAAUACGGGUAGAUAAAACUCUAAUAUCUAAUUUCACUACCUUCAUACUAUAAACAUCUAUCUCCUUAUGUUAAUUUUUAAUCCCUUUCUACUUUUUGGCACUAAACAACAUCAAUAAUUAUUCUUGUGAACUUCAACCCAAAACAAUCAUUCUAGCCAAAAUUCUAUCCCUUACCAAACAUUUACCGUUGUUACAUCCUUGAAAUAGCCCUGCUUUUUUUCUUCUUUUUUCUUUUUUAUCAAGUUGGGGAGAAGAAAAUCUUCUGUUUCAAAUAGACUGCUUCAAUUUUUAUGUAAGAUCACCGAUCCCAGUUGUACAAAUAUAAAGAGUGAUGAAUGAACAGAAAUCAUCCUUUUCUUUAACUGUUUGCAGAUCUAAGCACCUCAUAAUGACAUAUUUGUAGCAAUCUCUCUAUUGUCAGAGUAAUUUUAAACACAACCAUUCUCCUGAUCCGAAGCAGUAAGGGUUUUUAAAUCAAUUACUAACGGAACUGUUAAAGAUAAAUAAACAAAAUAAUUAAAAAGUGGGUAAUUAAACAAAAUGAUCAUAGAGGUGGUGGAAGAACAAACAAAGCCAAGAAAAGAAAUGAAACCUCCUUGGUUUCAUGUUCCAUAGCAGCUAAAUCUCUACGCGCCGUCGCUUUCCACCACCGGCGUCGCGUUCAAAUCCAAAACACCGUUUUCCUCCUCCUCCUCCACCACAGCCGCCACCUCUUCAGCCCCGGAACUCUGGAUCAUAAUCUCCUCCUCGUUAUUUCCACCACCAUCAAUCACUUCCACCACUUUAGCCUCAACUGCAGCCCGCCACCCUUCUCCACUACCCUUUCCAAAGUACUUCGCGGCUUCCUGCAUCCUCCUUAGUAUUGCAAAGAACUCCUCCACCUCCUCCUCAGUCGCCACCGUCACCACCUCCUCCUCAGUCGCCACCGUCACCACCUCCUCCUUUCCCUCCCGUCCCCUCACCUUCUUUUUCCUUCCUUGCUCGCUUUCUUUGUCUCCCCUCUUUCUUUUCUCUUUUCCUCUGUCCAUCUCUCCUUCAGGAACCUUGGAACUUUUAUGCAGACCUUGUAACAUUAUAGAAAGCUCAACCACAGGAUACAAAACUUGUAAAAUAAUAGCGGUGGAGGUAGAUACAUACUUGGAACUGUUUACAUGACAAAACCAUAUGAAUGUAUAUAAUGUGAAUUUAAGAUAUACUAUGUUUUAAGGAGAUAAUAUAUUUAUAUUCAACUAAUAGUAACCAAGAGAAUAAUUAAAUAAUAAAGUUGAAGACAAUUUCAUUCACAUAAAUCCCGUCCAUUUUAAUAAUUUUCCAAGGUCGUUGAAGACUUGUGUGAAACAGCUUACAAUGGUCGUUUUCCCACCGUUGAUGCAGACAAGAUGAGGAGGGGGUGAUGUCAACUUCAAGGGCAGAGAUGACGUCAUGGUCAUGGCGUUUGAUA